RNAcentral lists this long non-coding RNA (80303 nucleotides) under Gossypium barbadense (sea-island cotton). RNAcentral describes it as "long non-coding RNA (GBAR_LNC020635)". Lineage: Eukaryota; Viridiplantae; Streptophyta; Magnoliopsida; Malvales; Malvaceae. The record is from RNAcentral.
AAAAAAAACACUGAAAGUGCUUCUAGCUGGAUGCGUUUUCAGUUACUGUGGUAGGAAAACGCGUCCUUUGAGGUGUUUUCAAUGAUUUUUUUACAUGCACUGAAAAAAAUCCUACAUGGAGCAUGUUCUCUCUAGAAAUUUCAACUCUCACUAGCCUGAGAAAAAUUUCUGAAUCAAUUGGCCUUCUUCAAUAAAUGCAAUCUAUUUCAACAUUGAGUGGCAUAAGGCAUUUACGAGCAAAGAAAAUUGAAAGACGAUCAUAAGAAGAGAAGUUUUCACAUAAGACUUAAUUUGGAGCUACCAUGCAAUUUGUUUGAAGUAAAGACCAUUUUUUGUUAUUCAUAUUUAUUUACAACACUAUUUCUCUACAUGAUGUUUGUGUUUUGAACAUGUGCAAUAGGUUAUUUUAUUGAAAAUGAGUGGAUGAAUUAAUUUUAUUGUUUAUUAUGACGGUGAAGUGCAUGACACCGAGAGCGGGGUCGUUUUUUAUCAGAGAACACAACUCGGUUGGCUUUUAAUCAGAACAUACAAUUGCCAGAACUUCAGACAAAAAUUAAGCGAAAAAGUGUCAAAUCCAACCAGAUGAGAGUAUCAUCCUUUAAAUAUUGAAUUUGUGCUUCGGUCGACCCCGUCAUAUAUGAUGCCUUCGAUAUCAGAGUUGUGAGGGGGUUGGAGGCGAUGAUGCAAACGUAUUUUGACAGUGGAUUACCAUUUCUCGAGUUGGUGCAAGGAUAGAUGAAGGCCCUCGAAGGUCAACAUAUGUUCCUAUUUGAGAGGUCAAAAUGGAAGAACAAGCCAAGAGUCCAACUACACAGUUGUGUGGUGGGUUCAUCGCUUUAUUAGAAUGUUUCGAUUAUAAUAUCCCAAAAUAAUUAAUGGGAAAACACUCAUUUGUUUUGGCCCUAGAUGUUAACAGCGACAGUGGGUACACCGAAAAGUCGAGGUUUGGUGGUAACACAAAAUAUUGGACCCAUACACGACACUCAGUUGGUGGUUUUGAUUUGAACUUCGGUCAGCCGAUGUUCAACGCUGGGAAAACUUAUAGGGAAUGACAUUAAGUGCCAGUGGUUGGCAAUCAAUAGUUGAUUUUUAUUGUUUCGAAAACCAUACAAGAAAUGAUUUACUCCCUACGACAUUCACUGACGAGGGGAUAACAAACCCUGGAGAUAUUGGUUGGGUUGAGAAUGAAGAGGGCACUGAAUCCGAUGCCAAUCCAACCGGGGAGCCUGGUGCCGAUGGAUCAUAAAUUGCAUUAUUUUUUAAAUCGGAGCUGGUUCCAACUGAACCAAAAGAUGGAGGUUCAGACUGUGAAGGUUCAAGUGAAGAUGCCGAAGAAGAUCCACGGUUCAGGGCGUACUCACCUCUAACCCACAUGCAUAAUGUGGACAUAUCAGCAGAACAUGAGUUGGAGUUUGCAAAACUACCACACAGAAGAUCGAGUCAUAUGAGUUCUUUGUUAGAUUUAGAUGAUUUAAAAGUAGGGAAGGAGUUUUCCUCUAAAUAUGGUUUUGUCAUUGAAAUGAAGCGAUACAACAUCAAGAACGGGGUAAACUUCUAUGUUGUUAAGUCUCGAUUUGACAAAUUCAAGGCGAAGUGCAAAAUGUGAGACAACAGAUAUGCGUGGAAAAUCGUGGCUUCUUCUAAGAAGAAGAUGGGGUUAUGUACCAUAAAGAAAUAUAAAACUUUGCAUACGUGUAUUGCCGCGGGUACUGCAUCAAGACUGUUUUGUAUUACAACGAUCGAUGAAUUGCUUAAUUUAAUGUAUUUGUGUUGUUGCAGGAAUUUUACGGGAUUAUUCAAAAUUGGAUUCGAAUAUGAUCGCAAACAUAAUACUACUUACGGUCGAAGUGAGUCCUACGAUUGUUGUGUCAAUUUUAAUUGUAAAUAUUCGUAACUAGUUCGGUUACACGUCAUUGUAUCACGAGUGGAUCACAAAGUAGAAGGCAUUAGAGAAUACGCAUAAUAGGUAGGACACGUCGUAUAACGAUUUAUGCUAGUGGUGUAGGGUCUUGGAGAGGUACGUUCCAGGUUGCGUAACCAAUCUCGAAAUGAUGCAUGCGUACUACAACGAUUUGUUGCUCUGUGGAUGCCAAGUGUUCCAUAUUUUCUUUUGGAAUUUCAAGUAAUGUCGACAGACAUUCUAGUACUGUAAGCUAUUGGUACAAAUUGAUAGUACCUUUAUGCAUGAGAGAUACACCUAUCGGUUGUUGUUGGCUAUGUCAUAGGACGACAAUUGAAAAAUCUUGUCAAUUGCCUUCACAAUAACAUCGGAAGAGUCAAUAGACGAUUGAGAUUUCUUCUAAUCUAGGUUGAGAUGACAUGUUUGCCCCCAACCCGAUAUAUGCGUCAUCUCCAAUAGGGGACCUAGAAUACUUGUCGCAAUUGAACGGCAAGGAAACUUUUAGGACCGCGCACACUAUAGUUAUUGUCUAAGACAUGUUACAGUGAACUACCACAAAUAGUACAAUUCUGCAGCUCAGUGUGCACAAGUGAUCAAUAUAGGUAUGUAUUUGCCACUAUUAACUAUUUGAUAUUUAACUGGUCAACAGAUGUUGUGACUAAUGGAUAACCUAUUUACUUUCUAAAUAGGGUACGAGCUCAUCUGACAUCGUUUCUACGAAAUGUCGAAAAAUUUGUGAGCCAUUAACGAUGCAGGUACAAGCUACCUAUCCAACAUACCCUUCGAUUGGUGGAUACAAUCAUAUGACGGGGGUCUACGAUAGGCACACGAUUACAAACCUAGCGAAAUGCAUCAAUUCCGUCUUGAAGGGAAUGCGUCAUUUGUUAAUAACCUCAGUUGUCAAAGAAACAUAUUUCUGUUUGACUAAAAUUUUUCCAAAGUUAGUGGUGAAAUAUGUUAGAUAGAUGUAGGGUGACCGCAUUUGGAGCAAGGAUGUACUGAAAGAAAUUAGGAAGGCUACAACACGAGCGAAUUGUAUGCAUCUAGUGUGUCACUCCCGCGAAGACCUAUUGUUUCAGGUCACAGAGUUUGGCAGAUGAAACCAAGGUACUAUUGGGGGAGUGUAUCGUGUAGACUUGAGACAAUGGACUUGCGAUUGUGAGAGAUUUGACGCACUUCAUUUUUCAUACGCUCAUGCAAUUACAGCAUGUAGCAAUCAACGCUUGGAUCACAUGAGCUUUGUGAAAAAAGUGUACAAACUAGAACAUAUGUAUAACGUGUGGAGAAACGUAUUCCCACUGUUCCUAAAUGAACGUAUGUGGUCGCCUGUAUCGAGCGCUCUAUUCAAGUUUUUACCUGAUAGAUUAUCUUGUCGAAAACUAAAAGAUCGACUGACACCGACUCGGAUACGCGACAACAUAGACAUUCGGGAGAAGUCAAACCAAUUGAUGUUAUGCAGGUGGUAUAGGAACCUAGGGCAUACAAUGUCGUCAUGUCCAAAAUGACAGGAUGAUAUAAAAACAACAUUUCAUUAACAUAUUUAUUAAAAUUUUCUAUUCAUUUACAAAUUUUGGUGUUAUUUGUAAACACGUGUUUUUAUUAUACCAUACAAAUAAUAAAAUGCAACAUUGUUCCAUUAUUCUUGUACGUCGACAUUUUAAUAAUAUGAAAUGAUAACGUCAAAAACGAUAAUUAUUUAAAAAACAUAAGACUGUCCAACAUCAAUACAAUAAAAACAUUUCUUAUUUAUUUAAAAAUUUUACAUAACAAGUACAAAAAUAAAAUAAAUCAAUUCAAUCCCCGGUCAAAAUGUGUGCCACAUCGGAGUGGUUGACAAUUGCGAGCCAGAUUCCUUCCUGGUUUAACCUUUGGUAUAGGUUGUGGUCUCGACUUUUCAUCUUCUUCACCUUCGCCCAUAAUUGAUUGCAAUCAGUUGGUCAUCGGUUGCCGUCGUGUAUCCUCCGGUCUAGGAAUAGGUGAUUGCAAAUAUGUUCCACCUUGGUAGAAUAAUGAUCCCGAAGGUGUUUGCGCACCAUCUGCGUAAUCGUAUAAUUAUAUUGUGUCCCAUACACCGAUGGCACAUCGAUUGAACUCCAGAUCGGUUCCCAAACAUGGAUGACCUUUACGUCAUCGUCGACAUCAUGGUCGUCGAAAAUGUCGAUUACACCGACAUGUAAUAUGUUAGGGAUGAAGGUUCAUAAGCAAAACCUAGUAUCCAAGUAGAAGCACAAAAAUGUGGUGCAAUGUGUGGUGCUUAUGUAAAAAAGAAGGGGUUAGUAUAAAGACCAGAAUAAAUUGAGUCAUACUAAUUGAGGGGUGGUGCAAUCAGCAAUGUCGGUUCUUAUGUAGGUAGAGACAAUGGACCCACCUCGAUAGCACCAUCGUGGCCUUCUCGUAUGGCUUGGCUUGCCCCUUGCCUCUUAACUUAGCAUAUAUGGCUUGCCAUGAACCCUAAACCAUGACAUAUACUCCGGAUAGCAGGCUAACUCAAAAGCGACAAUGACCUCGCGAGUAAGUAAAAAUUGGUACUUAUUGUUCCAGAUGUUGAUUUAUUGCAUGUGGAAUGUAACACCCCUAACCCGUAUCUGUCGUAUAUUAGGGUUACGAGGUAUUACUGAACAGAUCACAACUUAUAACAGGCAUUCAUUACAAUUCAUGUUUCGUAAAUUAACCACAUCAAUACAUUUAUCCCAUUCAAAUUUCGAAGCUUAAAGCUCCUAAAUUCAUCUCAUUUGCUUUUUAAAAAAAUAUAUAUUAUCUAAGCUUAUAUUAUUAUAAAACUUAUACCAUACAAAUUAUACUACUAUACAAUAUCAGACAGCAUAUAGACCUAACAUAUUCGGCCUAAACAACCUCAACAAGUGGCCAAGUAUGAAAUUUUAAUCAUCAUAGUCUUACACUCAAUUUACCUAAUUAAUAUAAACCAAUUUAUAACACGUACUACAAAUCACAGUAUACUUCAUUUACAAAUUCCAUAAUCAAGUCAUACCAUAUAUAUAACCAUUACAGUAAGGCCAAAUAUACCACUUCACUCAUAUUGAAACAUAUCAUACCCACACGAACCUAUUCAUAGUAAACCAACCUUAAGUGGUUAUAUUACUAGUUUAUACAUUUAUUUUCACUACUGAAUAUCUGAAUUUGCAUACACAUUAUAUACUAACUCACAAACUAUUUCCAAGAUAAUUAUACCUUAGAUUAUAACACCAAAUCAUACAUUUUUCUCAUUACAAUUUUAUGUGCAAGAGACCAUGCUAUUUUGAACCAUUUCGAAUAUAUAUAUAAUACCUUAAGUACACUUAAAUCACAUACUUAAAACUUUCAUACACAUAGCCAAUCCCUUAACCACAUAUUCGAUCAUCACAAUUAACCUCCAAAAAUAAAUCAUGUCAAUUUCAUCAUGAACUAUACCUAAAAAUUCAUUUAUCGAAACCUAUAUAAUAUAUUCAUGGUUAUCCAUUACAUAUCUAUCAUUACUACAUUACUAAGCUAAAUUAUACAACUAUCCACCAUUCAAAAAUUAUUUUCACAUCUCAUACAUAUAUAUAUACAUAUAUACCGAUAACCUAUUUUCAUAAUAGGUUCAAACUCUGACCAUAAUGCACAAGCUUAAACAUUAUAAAAAAUCUAUAUAAUCAAAUACCAUACAUAUAUAAAUACCAUGAAAUAUAUUUUCAUAAUAUACUAUUACCAUAAUCGAACACAUAAGUAUUAAUAUCAAGAUUAAGCCAUUUUCGCAUGGCUAAUUAUAUGUACACACUUUAUGACUAAACAAGACAAAUACUAGCCUAUACAUGCCAUAUGUUCAAAAAUUCAAAUUUUCAAAAUACCGAGAUAGAGAUCGAUAGUGUGACGGACUUUCUUGACGACUCCCGAGCUCGUAACAAGAUUCCAAAAUCUAUAAAACAAUGAAUGAACAAGCACACAGUAAGCUUAAAUAGCUUAGUAAGUUGUAAGCACAUAAUUUUCAAAAAACUUAUAAAAAAUUACACCGAUAGGCCGAAUUCUACCAUUCAGGUACACAUAAAUAUAAAAUCAUUUUCAUACGAUUAAUUCAUCUUUUCAUGUUAUAUAUAUACUACCUACCUUUACUUUCAAUUUUGUAUAACUUAAACAUACCUGAAUUGUUUAACUCAAACUCACAUUCAGUUUUACCAUAUGGUUUCCUGUUAUACCUUUCAGAUUCAGAGAAAUGAUACUCGAUCGACUCAAAAAGCUCGUACAAUGCCAACGUCCUAGACGUGGUCUUACAUGUAAUCAAACAACAAUGCCACUGUCCCAGACAGGGUCUUACACGUAAUCAUAUACGACGCCAAUGUCCCAGAUAUGGUCUUACACAAAAAUCUCAAAUUGAGGCUAACGUCCCAGACGUGGUCUUACACGAUGUCACAUUUCAGUAUUUCUGUAGUUCGUAUGACUUUUGAAUGUCAUAAAUCAAUCAAUUAAAAACUCGUAAUUAAUCAUCAUUUGUCAAAUACAAUUCGGCAUUAUAAGGUACACAUACACAUUUAGAUUCGGUUAUACAUAAAAUAAAUACAGUAAAUUUAACUUCAAUAAUUUACUUACGAACUUACCUCGGACGAAGACAAGCGGAUGGAAUCGACUACUUGACCACUUUCGACUUCCCCCGUUCUAAUUCUGUUUUCUUUUGUUAUUGAUCUAAAUAAAUUAAAAUUUAGCUAUUUAAUAACACAUUUCAUUCAAAUUUAUUCUAAAAAUACAUAAAUGGGCAAAUUGUAAUUUAACCCCUAACAUUUCACAAUUUUCACAAUUUAGUCCUUAUUUCACAAAACACAAAAUAUUCAAAAUUUGACAACAUCAUAGCUUGGCUGAAUAUUCCUUUAGCUCAUAUAGGCCCACAUAUUUCAUUUGUUUCACAUUUUAUCCCCUCAAUUUCUCAUUUUUACAAUUAAAUCCCUAAUUUGAAUUUUUAUCAAAAAUUACUUAACAAAAUUUAAUAAUCUAUCAACAAAUAUUUAUUUUUCAUCAUUAAGCAACAAAAACAUCAAGCUAUCAUCAAUGAUAACUCACAAAUUUAUCAACCAAUUCAAAAAUUAACACACGGACUACCUAGAAUACGAAGCAACGAUCUCAAAAAUGUAAAAAUUAUUAAAAAUCGAACAAGAAACAUACCAAAUUUUUGGCUCCAAAGUGCCGAAUACUUGAAAGCUCAAGAGCUUAUUUCCUUUCUCAACUUUCAGUCAAAUAAAAUGAACAUGCAUGGCCUUUUUUUAUGUUUUAUUUUAUUUAAUUUAAUGUUAUUAACCUUUUUUACUAUUUUAACCUAAAUAAAACAAUAAUUUAAGUCAUUUGAAUCAUGGACAUAAAUGCCCACUAAAUUUUUAAUGGCACAAUAACCUUUUAAGGACUUCUCAUAAAUCAAAUCAUAACAAAUUAGCAUAUUAACAAUAAGAAUGCCACUUUUACUUUUUAUGCGAUUUAGCCCUUUUCACAAAUUAAGCACACAAACGGAUAAAUUAAAUCAUGAAAAUUUCACACAUAUCAAUUCACAUACUAUAAGCACGGAAAAUAAUAUUAAAAUAUUUUUCUGACUCAGAUUUGUGGUCCCGAAACCACUGUCCGACUAGGGUCUAAACUGGGCUGUUACAUGGAAUGUAAUCCAAUUCUCAUCCGUCCUCCCCCGCAAGUCGACAUGAUGCAGAUCUUCGAUGUCUUGGGGUGUCAUUGGAAUCAAUUGCCUGAAGCUGAAUUGCCGCAACACUCUACCCGACUCAUGUAUCUCCACGGUAGCGUACAUUACCAAUGGCACAUUCACGUGCCAGAUUUUGGGAUUGACUAAGAAUUUUGAUGGGAUGCAUUCUUGAAUUGUCGAACCGGAGUAAUGUAUUCAUUCAAACUAUAUUAAAAUAAUAAAAAAUCAGUUAUCUAUAUACUACUAAUUCUUAAAUGAACUAUGUUAAUAUUAUAUAAUUCAAAUUUAAAAAAAUACAUACAUUCGCUUCCGAUCAUUGGUCUAAUAGAAACUAUAUAUCUCGAAGCUCAUCAGGUAGUCCCACGUAACUCAGCCCAUGGUUCCACCUAUUGAAAUAAUAUGUUAACACAACAAUUUAAAUUUUAAAUAAUUUUAUUAUGGUAAAUAUAUUAUCUAAUGAAAUUUACCUUGUUAUGAGUGGGAGUGUAUAAGGGUAGUCUGCUUGAGGAUGUAAAAAUUGCAGUCGAUACCGCACCCAUGAUUGUUGUAGAAGCAUGCAACCAUUGAUUUUGAUUUUAUGGUUCGGUCCCCCGACACAUCUCCCUGUACAACGUUACCAACACGACUGACCCCUAGUUGAGUUUGCUCGCUUCUUUCAAGUUGAAAAGUUUUAGAAGUCACGUUAAAUGGAUGAGAUUUCGUGACUUAUCGGGCAUUAGGAGACCCCCGAUAAUCAUAAGGAUGUAUGCCAUAAGGAUGUACGCCCAAGCGUGUUGUACCCUUUGGACUUUAUUCGAAUCCUCAUCGAGCCCGUUGAAAUUUCGUCUUAGCCAAUUCAUAUCUAUCCGGGCUCUAUAAAUGGUCUCCAAAACCCGCUCCAAAAGUUUCUCACAUUCAACUCUCCAAUUAGCUGCGUGAACUGACCCAGUAACUAUCGGCCCAUCCACCGGUAACCAGAGCUGUAACUACACAUCCUCUAAAGUGAUAGUGCACUCGUCGCAUGGAAGAUGGAAUGUGUACAUCUCAGGUUUUCAUCUUUCCACCAACGUGCUUACAAUGUGGGCUCCAAUUUACACCCGAAGGGCGACGUGCAAAAAUUCAGCUUCUUUUAAGUGUGGUUCGAUUACAAGUGAUGAAAGAGCAAGUAAAUUACGAAUAUAAGUCUCCAAAAUUUAAUCUUUCACCUAUAUAUAAAAAACAUACAAAUAUUAAAUUUCAAUAUAACAAUAAAAUAUUUAAAUUAAAUUACAUUAAAUAUAAUAAAAAAUUCUUACCAUUUCCAAUUGAUCGACAGAAAUGUGCUUAUUAUCAAAAUAGAUUAGAGAUUGUGUCAUUGUUAAUUUUGGAAAACACAAAAUAAAUUGUAAUAUAAAAAAUAUUUUACGAAAACAUUAAGACAAUUGCUUUAAAAAAUAGAGUUGAGAAAGAAAUAAUUUUUUAGUGAGAAAUUAUGAGAGAAUUGAGAGAAAUUUAAGAGAGAUUUUUAGAAUGUGAGAGAGAGUUGAGAUUGAAUUAAAGAAAAAAAUGAAAUGGUGGGUUAUAUAAAAAAUGGUAUAUGAUCGUUAGGGAGUGGGGAAUGCUUCCAACUGGAAGUGUUUUCCUACAAAUACGUUAAAAACGCUUCCAGCUAGAAGUGCUUUUCUGCAUAUCACUUGAAAACAUUUCUAGUUGGAAGCGUUUUCAUAAAAUCAGCAUAUUCCCAUAAUUUUUCAAGAAAAUGGUCUAAUCUCGUAAAUUUUUUUUAAAAAAAUUGCCAUUUUAAGUAAUUUAUUCUGGAAAAACAGCUGGUGGAUCUCUAUUACAUAAAUAUACAUGUUUUGUGAUGUAAAAUACUUUUCAGAAGCCAAAAAUUCACAAAAUAAUAAUUGAAAGAUUAUGAGCUUCACAUAAAGAAAAUCCCUUCACUAUUGUUAUCUAUUUUGUGUUGAUAAUCUUUUAACAGUUAUUUCAACGUUUACCUCUGUUAAUAUUCACUAAAAGCAUCAAUUUAAUUGCUUGGUCCAAAAGGAGCUGUUGCUUAAAAUAAAGUAAAAGCUUACAUAACUUAAAUAUAUUAGUAUCAGCCACUAACAUAUGGUAUAUAGAUAUAGAUGCUUCUUAUAUAAAGAAUGAAGUAUCUACAUCAUUCAAGUUCACAUGAGAAAGAGAUGUUAAUAGCUCUUAACAACCAAGAUUGUUAUUUCAAUAUUUGGACAACCUAUGAAUCAAUUUAAAAUAUUGAGUUUUAUUUUCACCUCAUGUUUGAUCUCUCCCACAUAUUUUUUACUCUAUUAUCAUCUUACGAUUUUUGUAUCUUUUUCUUAAACUUUCUAUUUUGUUUCAAAUUAGUCCUGAAUCACUUCUAAUCUGUUUAGGGCCUCGAGGGCUCGAUUUAGGGACAUAAUGCAUAUUGUUGAAUGAAAUAUGAUAUAUUUAAUUUAGUUAAAUAUUAUGAUGUUAAAUGUUUUUGAUUGUACGGUAAUGUUCCGUAACCCUAAUCUAGCGGCGGAGAUAGGUAAGGGUGUUUCAAGUGGUCUUGAUUUUGCGGUCAUGAAUUUAUGACCAAAAUUGUAAUGAUGAUUUUGUAAUCCAAUUUUUGCACCCUCAAUUCUAUAACUCAAAUUUGUGGGUUUCUCUUAGCUUUAUCAACUAUAAAAUCCUGCUCUGUAACUCAAAUUAAGUUAUGCUUUUACAACUUCUUAUAAAUUCUAUAGCUUCCUACAACUUUCUAGUGAGCAAGUAGUAUGUUGGCUCCUCGAACUUCCUUCAACUUAUUUUAUGUUAUUUUUGGGUGAGAAUAAUGUAUAUUUUUUCCCCAAUUUUUUGUAUAUUUUCUUAUGUUAUUUUUGGUUAUACAUAUACUUCUUACAUUUACUUUUGCGUUUGUUUUGGGUGCACAUACUUUCCGCGACUUAUUGCAGCCUUUUUCAUUUUGGUUUUGGACUAAACAUGUCUAAGGGCCAAGUAGUCUGCUCAACUUUAUAGGCGCGACCCGACUUGGGCCAAGUUUGGACAAUAAUUUUUGUACGACAAGGUCGGGCCAACCCGAAUUCAAUUUAAAAAAUAAAAAAUAUUUUUAAUUUAAAUUUAAUUAUGAAAUAUAUAAAAUGUUAAUUAAAAAAUAUAUUGAAUAUUUUUUAACAAUAAAAUGGCUUUUUGAGUGGGUCGGGCUAGCCAGAAAAUGAAUCUGGGUAUGAAUUUUUUUUGGAAUUGGGCCUCGACCCAUGGAAAGCCCUAUUUUGGAUGCAUGCAUAUUGUAUUUUGACCAUAUUCUUGUAGUUCUGGUAGCUUUUAGCUGAUAGUAGCUUAAACAUUGGCUUCAUGUUGGCUGUCUCCACGUUCUCACAGUUUACUAUAGCUUCUUAUAGCUUAAUUAUGUUAUGUUAUAAUUUUGAGUGCAUAUUCCAUAUUCAUGUAACUUCUUACACACAUUACAACUUCUUUAUCCUUUAUAGCUUUGCUCUGCAGAUUUUGCUCUACAAAUUCCACUCUACAUCAUCACAAUUUUAUUCAUAGAUAUGUUAUGUUGCUUUAUUUCAUUUCUUUGGAACUCACUUCACAACCUUUGUAGUUCAACAUUGUAAAUUAAGUAUGUCUGUUUCUUAUCAUAAUGUUAUUUUGGUGCCCAUCUCUACUCUAUAGCCUCUACAACUUUGCAUUGUAAAUAUCUUAUGUGGUAUCUUCUAGCUCUAUGUAGUUCUUUACAGCUUCCUGUAACUUUUAUGGUCUUGUAACUUUUUACAAAUAUGUUAUAUUAGUUUCCUUUAGAUCAUUUUAGCUAUUGGAGCAUUUUCAAGUAUUUAUAGUGUUCUAAUAAGUAUAAAUGAAAGGAUGUAAUAUCUUUCGGUUAUUGAUCAGGAGUUAUAUCACUUGAUUUUUGACAAAGAAUUAGAACUGUACAAGUAAUAUUACUUGAAUAGUUAUGAGAUAUUAGUAGAAUAAUUAUGUCUCUUUUGAUGAUGUGGUUAUUCAGAAAAGAAAAAUUUUGAAAGUUAUGUCUCUAUAAAGAAACAUGAGAGUUCCUAUAAAUAGGAGUGAGAUUUCAUGUGAAAAACAUACUAAAAAAUUCUUAAAAAGUUCUUUUGAUCAUUCCUCCAUCUUCUACUAUUAUUAGAUUGUUCUAUAAAAACUUAUUGCAGAAUUUCUUUAUAGAAUUGAUUUUCUUGUUAUACUCUACUCAAUGCUUAAUGAAUUAUUUUUGUCCGUGCAAAACAUAAUAGUCAUCGGACUUCAUUGUAUCCUCGAGGUUCAUUUGCUUGAAAUUCAUUUGCAUACCGAAUAUAGGUGUAGGCAAAUAGAACCUUAAAGAUAGUGGCUUAAUGCAUGCCUUAGAGUCUUGUCCUAUUUCUUCAUUUUUCAGUUCAAGUUGUUGUUUGUAUUUUGUUCAUGUGUUCAAGGUUUUCCUCACCAAAGUUCUGCACUAACAUUAGCUUCUUGAAACUUUUCUUUUUGGCAUGUUGUUUGUGACUUUUAUAGCUUAUACUCUUACCUGCUUAUAAUUCUACAACUUAGAUUAUGUGGUGGUGAUUUUGCAACAUAGAUUUUGUGGCGACAAUUCUGUGACGAUGAUUUUGUGAAAACACAAUUUUUCAACUAUGUCUUUGUAGCUAUGAUUUUGCAAACCAAAUUUUAUAGACCCAAUGAUGCAAGCUUUAGAAUAACUUCAAUUUCUUUCAACUCAAGCACUAUUACCUUUCUGUAUCUUUAGCUUUUUUUCGUGUACUUAUAUGAUCUACUAUGCAACCUAUGCAUCUUUGUCCUAUAACAUUUACAUUCUACAACUUCUUCUCUCUUCAAUCAUCUUGCUUUCAAGUACAUACAUGUUAUAUUAGCUUUUACAACUCCUUACAAUUUCUUUCAUGUUAUUCUUGGGUACAUAUAUGCAUCGUAAAACUUUUACAACUUCUUGAAACUUGGCUCCACGGGUUAAAUUGGUGUUUUAUAGCUUACAAUCCUAUUCUACUUUUUUUCUUUAUAGAUCCCACUCUAUAGCAUAAAUUUCCACUCCACAAACGAAAAAAAUCUUACUUUACGCAACCUAAACAUUUGCUACAUGUAGCACAUGGAAACUUUAUGUUACAAAUUUGCUCGUAAACAAUAAAUACAUGCCUUGUGCAUAUCCAUAAAAUGCUUCCAUAACAAUAAUGCCAACAAUUUGGCUUCAAAAAAAUUUCCUUAAAAGAUGCAAAAAUCUUUCAAGGGAUACAAUUAUGCCAAACAAUUUCGUUUCCAUAGAAAUAUCCACAAAACUUUGUUAAGAAAAAUUCGUCAAAGGAUACUAUUAUACCAAACAAAUUGGGUUCUACAAAUGUACUCCAACCACAAAGCUAGAACUUAUACUUUGGCUUUUACAGUUGUCAUACCAAAUCAUUGAACUUGGUGCAAAAAAAUUCUUAUUUAUUAGUGUUGAGGCAUGUUUUAGAGUAGAGGCCAUUGCACUUAGCAUUAGCAGGCUUUAUAAGUUGACUUAUUUGUUGGAAUGUUUGAUAAAAAUAUAUUGGCUAUUUGCUUGCACCUUUUUUAGGGUUUGUGCAAACAAUCUUGUGUUUAUAAUUGGAGAAGAUAUUGAAUCAAGCAAUGUUAUUUUUCGAGGAUUCUUAUAUGAUAUACUUAACUUGCAUAUUGAGAUAUGCAAUCCAAGAUGAUAUGGGUUGACUUUAUGAAGAUUUAUCCUAAUCCUUUGUAUAUAUAAAGGGUAAUUAACUUGAAGAGAUUUGAUAGAUCAUGAUGGAUUAAAGUUUUCGUAGUGAAGUUAGAUUUGUGCUAUAAAUAUGGAAGCCUUGUUCAACCUCGAUAGAGGUUUUAUUGUUGAGGCAAGUAUGUUAGCAGUGGCUCACACAAUGUUAGUGAUAGUGGCCAUUGUUGUUAGCAUUGCAGCAGGCAACAUAACUUACCAUAUUUAAAGUUGGAAUUUUUUUAAACAAAAUCUUUGGGCUUUUGAAUGAUGCUUGUAAUGUGAAAGCAUCAAGCUCAAAUGUGAAAAUCAACCCACUUAAAGGAACUUAUGUAACACUGUUUACCCAGUCCGGUCUUCAAAUCCGAGCUACAGAAUGUUACUACAAUUAUUGAAACAUAUCACAUUAAAUGUAGGCUUAAAAAUUUGAUUAAACAAUAAAAUACUUCAUAGAUCACGUAACACCCCUAACCUAUAUCCGUCGCCUGAAUAGGGUUACGGAGCAUUACCCAACUUUACAGACCAAUUAUGAACAUUUUAUAUCAUUUAACACACAUAUUAGAGACCAAUCACAAUUCAUUCAUAUUUUCCUUUAUAUGAGCCCUUGUGGCCCAAAAUACACCUUAGAAUCAAGUUGAGACCAAACUGGAAACUCAGAGAAUUUUUCACAAAAUCUCAAAAUUUUACCUAGGUAUAGGGGACACAUGCCCGUGUGUUUCACAGGGUCGAGAGACACGUCCAUGUCUCAGGCCGUGUGAGUAUUUUAAGAAGAGGCACACGGCCGUGUCCCAAUCUGUGUCCAAAUUAGGGUGGCUACUGACUUGAGUCACACGGCCAAGCCACACGUCCGUGUGCUAGGUCGUGUGAGCAUACUGACUUCAAUAACUAAGGUGUAGUGUUCAAAUGGACAAGUCACACACCCAUGUGCUAGAACCAUGUGACAUACACGGCUGAGACACACCCGUGUCUCUACCCAUGUGAAAAUACCUGAGCAUUCUGUUUCUAAAAUUUAAAGAUGUAGGGGACACACGGUCAAACCACACGUCCGUGCACAUGACACUAGGGGUGAGCAUUCGAUCAAAUCGAAUUGAAUCGAAUCGAAAAUUUUCGAGUUAAUCGAGUUUUCAAAUCUCAUUUUAUCAUCCUAACUUUAUUUGAAGUUUUCUCGAAUCGAGUCGAGUGAGAUGGAAUUCGAAUCGAAUCGAAUAUAUUUGUUCGAGUUAAAUUUAAAAAAAUAAUUUUGGGUCCUUGUAACCAUUGUCAUCCAUCGUAAUAAAAUUUGUCCACAUUAAUCAAAUUUUUUAUUAACUUUCAUCACUUCAUAAUUUAUUUAUUAAUUUUUUAUAUAUUGAUUAGCUUCUUUGCUUGAUUAGUUGUUUCAAUUAUCUUCAGAUUCUUGUCACUAUGUAUUUUAGAAUUAAAAAAUAUAUUAAAUGUAAAAAUAUGAUUUUUAAUAAAAGUUAUUUUAAAAAUAAAAUGUGAAAUUAAUACCAAUAUAAAUUUUUAACACGAAUAUUUUAUGUCAUAAUUAAUAAUUCAAUUUUAAUAUAAAUAUUCACUAUGACUAAACAAUUCAAUAAUAUAAAUAAUAUAAAAUGUGAAAUUUAAUUUAAUAAUAUAAAUAGUAGAUAUAAAUAAAAUUAUUACUAUUUAUGUUUAGUGAUUUUUUUUGAUAAUUUUAAUUUUUUAUUUGAGAGUAAAGGGUGAGAAGUAAAAGUUUAGGGGAAAAAUAAAAAGUUUUGGGGAAUAAAAGUUUGAGGGAAAGUAAAUAGGGGGAAUAAAAUUUUGGAAGGAAAAUAUUAAAAAAAAAUUGGAGGGGGGAGGGUUUGGGAUAAAUGGGAGGUGGGAUGGGAAGGGAAUAAAAGUUUUAGGGGAAAAGUGGGAGGGAGUAAAAUUUUUGGGGGAAAAUAAAAGGUUUUGAGGGUUUUUAGGAGUAACAUUUUGAGAAAAAUAAAUGGGAGAGUAAAAUUUUGGUGGGAAAUGAAUUUUGGGUAGAUUGGGGGGUUGGGAGGGGAGGGGAGUAAAAGUUUUGGAGGGAAAGUGGGAAGGAGUAAAAGUUUUGAGGGAAAAGUAAAAAGGUUUGGGAGUUUGAGGUAAAAAUGUAAAAUAUUUGUAGUUUGAUAUUCGAAUUAUUCGAAUUAUUCGAGUUUAUUCGAAUUCGAAAACUCAACUCGAUUCGAACUCGAAAUUCGAAAAAAAAAUUCGAGUUGAUUCGAAUAACUCGAUUCGUUUAACUCCAAAUUCGAAUUUUUUUUUCGAUUUUUUCGAGUCGAAUCGAGUUUUGCUCACCCCUACAUGACACACGGCUGAGAGACACCCGUGUGGACGAAAAUAGACCAUUUUUAGGCCGCUUUUCUCACCCAUUUUGAUAUCAACCUAUACUCAACAUUUCAAUACAUCAAUAAACCCUAAACAAGCAAUUAACAUAAGCCAAAAUCAUGUCUUAAGCAUGACAUAACAUCACAAUACUCAAUUACGUAAACUUAUCAAUUUAACCCAUUUCAUUGAUUUCUCAAAUUCUACUACUAAUUACAUACAUACAAGUAUAUAUCAUUAAUAACCAUACUUCAAAUUAGUUCAUUUCCAAUCCAACCCUAUAGAUGCCAUAUAAACCAAAGUUUACAUUGUAAAAACUACCGGAUUAGGUAGGAUAGUGUGGCUUGGUGUGUAGAUCCGAUCUCUUAAUCUCACGUUAAUCUAUAAAAACAUUAAACAACACAAGUAAGCUUGAUGAAGCUUAGUAAGUUCGAUAGGUUAAACAUACAUCUUACCGAACUUAAUAUAAUAAAUCAAUUAGUAAAUAAAUCAUACAUUCUCCCUGUCAAAUAUAAUAUAAAUUGAUGAACACAUUUCCUUCAAAUAAAUAUCAAUAUUAAAUGUUAAAUCUUUCUUUUUCAAUCAUGUAAGUCUUUUACCAAAUCUUACCAAAUCGGGAACAACUUAUGAAUAUGAGUACAUCAUAUUUAGAAUCCCGAAGGCUGCACAAAAGCAUAUAAGUGCUAAACAGAAACCCAUAAGGGUUGAAUGGAAGCUCAUAAGAGCUGAUUGGAAACCCAUAAGGGUUAAACAGAACUCAUAUGAGUCAACAAAUGCUCGUGAGAGCUAAAUGGAAAGUAAACACGAGAGUUCGCAACAAAUGUUGAACAUCGGUUUACUUGAGUAUAUUUAUCGUCAAUUCAUCCUUUGCAUAUACUGUCAAUUCAUCAUUUUCAUUUUACAGUCAAUUCAUCCUUUGCAUUUUACCGUUAAUUCAUAAUUUGCCAAAAAAUAAUUGUACUCAAUCCCGCGUUCCACUCAUUUUGAACAUUCAAUUCGAUUUCAAAUUUUAAGAAUAAUUUUAUUUUCAACAAUAGAUAUGAUUAAGUACAUAGUACCAUUCAUUAAUUUAAUAAAUAAACAUUAAAUUUUAACCAUUCGAACUUACCUGAGUUGAAUUGUAGGAUUUGUAGUAAUUCAGGGACUAUUCUACUAAUUUUCCUUUUUCACGAUUAUCUACGAGCUCUUGAUCUAAAAUGUAAAAUUAUCCAUUCAUUAGUAUAUAUUUCAGUUUCAAUUCCUUCACAAUUAAUACCUCUCAAUUUUCAAAAUUACACAAUUAUCCCAACUUUUAAAAUUUUUGCGAUUUAGUCCCUCACUAAUUAGUCUACCAAUUGAGCUAAUUUUUUUUUCUCAAUUGAUAGUUUAUCUAAAUAUUCUAGGCUAUUAUACAGCUCUUGAUACUCAAUAUCUAAACUAAUGACAUAGAUAGUUGGACCUAAUUGUAAAAGUCUUAAAAACACAAAAAUUUCAAGAAAAAGGCAAGAAUUGAACUCACAUGAAGUGAAAUAGAUAACCAGCUUCUUAAGAGCUCUUCAAUGGUGUCUUUUUGGCUGAAUUUUUGAGAUGAAAUGUCUAGAAAUCAUCUUUUACCAUUUGUUUUAUUUUUUUCUUAAUUUCUCAAAUGUUAAUUUUCCCCCUAAAUCACCUAAUUUAAAGAUUUUUCUCUGCUUAUGCCGCCUCAGCCUUCUAUUAGGUGUCUAAUUACCUUUUUGGUCCUCCCUUAUUUACCACUUAAGCUAUUUAAUCAAUAUUUCUUUAAUUAACAAGUUUUGCACCUUUUUCAAUUUAGUCCUUUUUAUUUAAUUAACUAUCAAAAUGUUAAAAUUUUCUAACGAAACUUUAAUACUACCUUUUAUGAUACUCCGUAAAUAUUUAUAAAAAUAUUUAUGGCUCGGUUGAUAAAAUCGAGGUCUCGAUACCUCGUUUUCGAAACCAUUUUACCUAGUAAAUCUUUCUAAACUCAAAUCACCAAUUCAAAAAUCUUUCUUAAAUCAUACUUGACUUGUAAAUAAUAAAUAAUAAAAAUUUUCGAACUCACUCGUCGGAUUUAGUGGUCUCAAACCACUGUUUUCGACGCCACUAAAAAUUGGGUUGUUACAGAUCGUGCAAAAUAUGAUUUAUAAACUAAAUUGAGUCUCAAGUGAGGUUACGAAAACUCCUAAGUUGACUCGAGAACAACUAAGGAUCAAGCUGGAAAUUUAAAUGAAUUAAUUUAGGGAGUUACAAACCGUAAGCUCCAAGCUAUACAUUUACAUUUAAACUAUGUAAUAUCACCAUAAUACUUAUUAAUUUCAUAAUCAAACUCAACAUCCAGUAAUUUCCAUUCAAUUAAACCAAUGUACGUCAAUAUGGUAUCCAAAUUAUACCAAUUCAAGUUGUACAAAUCUAACUUAUAUUAUAUAACAUCCAACCAUUUAUAAUCCAUCAAUUCCAUAGUAUUUACUUCAUACCAAUAGUCAAUUUCUGCCUAGAAAAUAUCUAUUUCACAUAUAGAUAUUUCAUAGCAUCACACAUUACCAUAUUAAAGGCUACAAGUAUAACUUGUACUAAUAUCAUCUCACAACAUAAUCAUUCGAUACUACAUAUUUGUUUAUAUCUAUUAUACAUUUCAUACUUUUUGAUUUAAUCCUUUUGAUGUUAAAACCAUUAUAAUAACAAUUCCACUAUAAAGCAAAACAAUAUAAUACAAAUAUAUCAUCAAUUAAUAAAGUAAGUCUCAUAUGAACUUACUUGAUUGGAUCAGCAAACAAAUUGAAGCUUUAGGGAUUAAUCGACAAUUUUGGUUUUUCCAUGAUUAUCUUCGGUUUGGUUAAAUUCUCUAUCUAUAAAAUAAUUCAAUUCAAUUUAUUAAUUCUAAACAUAUUAUAACAACCUAUUACAUUAAUGUAUCAGUCCAAUUUUAGUUUUCUAAUGCCCCUAAAAUUUUACAUUUUAUUCAAUUUAGUUCCUAAAAUCGAAAUUGUCAUAACUUUCAAAUAUGAGCUCCAAUUUUUAAACUUAUUUUAAAUACAUCCUUCUACAGCCCUCUAUUAUCAACAAUUACAAAAAUUUUAUACCAAAUUUCAAAAUAUCUACACUUUAGUCCUUAUAUUCAAAACUAACAAUUUUCACUUUACAAAAUAGUCCUUUUUCAUAUCUAAACUUCUAAUCUAACCAUUUAACAUCAAAAAAUUCGAGCAUUCAUCAAUAGAAACAUUUUGAAACUUUAACAAUUUUAAAAAAGGAUAUACGAGUAAGCUAAAUCGAGUUACAACGAUCUCAAAAAUAUAAAAUUUACGAAAAACGAGCCUAACCGAAUAUUGAAGCCUUCAAAAAUGGCUUCCCAAGUUUUAUUUGAUAGCCAAAAUUGGUUUAGAAGAAAGAUGGAAAGAAAUGGAUGAAAACUUCCAUUAAUUUAUGUUUUAUUAAAUUAACAAUUUAUAAUUUAACAUACUUUACAAUUAAAAAAAAUAUACCUAAUCGUCCACCAUCUUUUGAAAUGGUAUAUUUACCAUUUCGAGUCUUGGUUGAAUUAUUUUUUAACUCCUUAAGCAAUUAAAACCUCAAAUAUUUUAACUUUUAUAACUUUUACGAUUUAGUCCUUGUACCUUAUUAGUUACUAAUUCAGUAAAAUUACUUAUUCAUCUAAAUACUCACUCCAUGUAUAUUUAAUAAAAAAUUUCACGGGCUCAGUUUAUAGAAACGAGGUCUUGAUACCUCAUUUUUUUGAACCACUGACUUUAAGGUUGUUACACGUGUACCUUGAUUAAUUAUCAAUUCAAUAAAAUUUCUAAGCCAUAAUUCAUUAUACUUCUAAAUAAACUCAUAAAUAUAUAAUAAUAUUUACGAAUUCACUCGUCAGAAAUGGGGUUUUGAAACCAUUAUUUUUUGAUACCACUAAAAAUCGAACUGUUACAACUUAUCUUGAAGAUUAGAUUGGAUCCGAUCAAGCAAUCAGAUCCUUUGGAUUAUGGAGAUUGGAUUGAGAUAGCAUUGUAGACAUAUCUUCAACAAUCCACUUCACAUUGGUCAUUGUUAUUAUAUUUUACAUGCUAUUUUAGCUGCAAUUUUAUUGGGGAAUUUACUAUAAUUGAUCUAGGAUGUUAGCAAGUGUCAAAACUCUUAUAUAUUUGGAGAGACUUGUACAAGUUUUGUAAUCGAGUGAAUUAGAACUUAUCUUUUCACUGAGUUAUUAAGAGUGUAAACAAGUUUAUUUCUUAGUUUACAACUUAAUUUUCUAAGGAAAAAAUUUAGAGGCGAGUGAUCUAGAUCUUUAAGUACAAAAGAAAGGUUGUUAUACCGAGGUGUCGUAGGACUUGUAUCACUUUUUGUAUUGGGAUUAAAGAUAGUGGAUUCAAUCAUUGAGCUAGUUUUCGUAGACGUAGGGAAACCGAACUGCGUAAACAACUUUGUGACUUCUUGUUUUGCUAUUAUUGUUGCAAUGCCAACUUCAGUGGCCAUUGCAACUAGCACUUCUGUCAUCACUAGCUAUUUUCUUUGCAAGUUUCGAUUGUAGGUUCCAACACUUAGCAAUAAAAUCUUACUCUUAUAGAAUUAGUUGAGCACAAAUCUUCCAAGGGACGCAACUAAAUUUUCGACACUCUUUACAUCCUCAAUUUACUCAUUUAAAGGUAUAUUUUGCUUCUCUUAGUUUUCCACAAGUUACUUUGAAACCUACUUCAAAUAAUGAGGUGGGGAAACCAUUGUUAAUACCUACUAAAAUUAUCCCGUUAAUAGCUUAAUUAGUGCCAAAAAUAGCUAUGGCUCAAAAUAAAGCAAAAGGCCGUAUAGCUUAUAAUUUUUCAAGUUUAUACAUUAGAGUUAGCGACUAACCCGUGGCCCAUAAAUGCUCAUUCUCAUGUAAAGAAAAAAAAAGAUACUACAUUCAAUAAGCUCAAUAAAAAAGAGAUGCCAACACUUCUUAAUGACCAAGAUUGUUAUAUCAACCAAAAAUUGCUAAAAUAGUGGAUCUAGUUAGUCAAUAGGCAGCAUCUAGACAACCCACAAAUCAAUUAUAAGUGCUUAGUUUUAUUAUCACCAUAAGUAUUACCCCUACCAUACAUCAUCUUUUUAACAUACCAAAAUAUUGACUCAAGUAUUGGAAAGCAACUUGGAGCAUAAGCUGCUAUCCUUUUCGCUUACUCAUGUCUUGCAAAUUAUUGACUAUAGAACUUAAUCCAUCAACUACAAAACUCAACUCACCCUAAAUUUUUCAAGCACAAGAAAAAUAAUAUCAACAAACUCCUACUUGAAGGACUGUUUAUACUAAAGCUACAUUUUGAUAUUGAUUUUGAUUUUAAUCAUGAUUUUGAAGGGUGAUCAUAAUUAAUUAUCUUGAAGACUUUAUUCCAUAAUUAACGAUUUUUGUCUUCAAGAAAAUAUCAACAUUGUAGAAGCUUCUCCCAACCUUUUCUCUCUGUGUGUUGUUGGCAUGCAAGGAAACUCCGCAUAUUCCUAUAAUUACUUGUUUUCAAAUGAUAAAACUUGUGUCAAUUGUUAAUGAUUAGCUUAUAAUGAUUGUAACCAAUAACAAGUAAAUUUGUUUCUUCCUUAAAUUACAAUAAUCGGAAUUAAUGAUAAUGUUUGCUAGGUUAUAAGAAUCUAGCAAGUUUCUUAGUAUUAGCACUUUUAUUUGGUUGAACAAGACUAGAGGUUUCCCAACUUUGCCUGGAUUCAUUUGUAUUUCCUCCUACUAAUUUGAUAUAUUUAAAUUUUUAUUACUACUCAUAUUCAAAAAAGAAGAAAUACUGCUGGCAAAAAUUCCUAGAUUAACCAGGAAUUUAAUCUAACCUUCAACUGGACCUCAUAAUUUAUUGUUAAAACAAUUAAAAUAACAAAAAAAAAGGAAAUACGUGAAUGAGGAGAUCAUAUUAAGUUAAAAAGUGAAAGGGUUUGGUCAGCCAUAAACUUGAUUAUGAGUUGAGUCAUUCGCUUAAACUCGAAAUGUUGUUCGAAAAAUGGGAGGGUUUGAACAAAUACAUAAACUUAAAAAAUGGGUUUGGACAAAUAACAAGACUCGUUUAAUAAGACUUGUUUUCUAAACAGGUCAACCUCAAGUAAGAUUUUUGGCUUGGGUUCGGCCCAAAUUUGCUUAAAUUCUUUUUACUGCUGUUUAUUGUUGUUUUGCUAUUGUUUGCUGCCAUUUUAAUGUUGUUUUGUUGUCAUUUUGCUAUCAUAUUGCUACUAUUUUGUUGUUAUUGUUUGGAUAUUGUAUAACUCUUGUUUUAUUAUUAAUUUUACUAUUAUUUUAGAGGCAUUUGCUUACUAAGUUGCAAUUAUCUUAAUGUUAUGCAAGUAUAAAGACUUUUUUUUAAUAUAUUUUCAAUUUAUUGAAAACAUGUAUUUUAAUGCUUUUAGCAUAUUUGAUAUAUUAUAUUUUUAAUUUAUUUUUAUAUACAAAAUUUUUAAUAUGGGUAGACUAAGUGAGGCUCGAACUUUGUAUUAUUUAUCUAGGUCGAACUUAAAUAAAAUUUAAAACUUAUUUUCCAGAUAAAACCCAAGUUAGAAAAACAAGAUUAAAAUUUUGAUGAACCCAUAAUCGGGGUGUAUAGAUAGGCUUGAAUAACUGCCAUAAUUACCAAACAACAAAAGACGGUAAAUGUGGCUGUCUAGAAUAAUGCCCUGCAACAUUAUUAUGCUUUCUAAUUUGUUGCAUUUAUCUGCCAAUACCGCACACGAUUUGUGCACUUAAACUCAAAUCCCUGAACGUUUUAACUCUUUCAGAAGAAAAAGCCCAAAAGAUAAUCUUUCGGUUUCCCUUUGCUGCACAGGGCUGUAGUUUUGACUCCAUCAGCAGCCUAAUGCGUAUUUGCUUCGUUACCCUUUUUGUCUUUACACUAUGAAGAAAAAUGAAUAAUAUGAUGGCUUAUCAAUUUUCUUCCCUCUUUUUUAAUUUCUUAAUACUUACAAUAGUAGGAAAACUGCAUAUUGCUGAAUUAAAAUGAUUAGCUUUGAAACGUAUAACAAAUACAAAUGUUACCUGAUUUGUCUUCAAACAAAUAAUAUAAAAUUUUCACAACACAACAACAUUAACCAACUGCACUAAAAAAAAGAAGAAGUGUUGUAAAUCACUUAAGUGGUUGUCGGUAGGCAUUACCGGCAGGUGGCAGCGCUCACAAAGCGACAAACUGCAGCAGUUCCAAGGCGCGGCGAUCGGCGGAAAAUUAAAAAAGAAAUACUAAAGUUUUCAACUUUCUACGAUAAACCUAAAACCACCACCAAAAAAUCAGACUUAAUAAAUAUAUUAAAAAAUGUUGAGAUCAAGUUCAAAUCAUAUAGACCAAUCCCAAUAUUAGCAUAAACCAUUAGUAAAUGUUCCUUUAGAACCCUACAUAAAGGGCUUCAGUGUCCCCCAUUCACCACUGUUGUGCCCCUUAAGGACCCCUCAACAGCCCCACUUUCACCUAGCCGGCCAACUCUCCCCCUCUUUCCACAAACCCCAUUUUUUUAGCACCAUUUCCUAGUGUACUCGUGUGCUUUUGAAAAUUUUAAAGAUUAUUCCUCUUGUUCUGUUUUCUGCUCAAAGCUCUUUUAUCUGUCCCUUUCUUUUAGUUUCUGACAUGGCAUCCUCUGGCACUGGCUCCCCUUGUGGUGCAUGCAAGUUUCUGAGACGAAAAUGCGCCUCUGACUGUAUAUUUGCGCCUUAUUUCUGCUCGGAACAAGGCCCUGCAAGGUUUGCAGCCAUCCACAAAGUUUUUGGUGCUAGCAAUGCCUCCAAGUUGUUGUUGCAUAUCCCAGCUCAUGAUCGAUGUGAGGCGGUUGUCACCAUUGCUUAUGAGGCCCAAGCAAGGAUUAGAGACCCGGUCUAUGGUUGUGUUGCUCAUAUUUUCGCCUUGCAGCAACAGGUAUUAGAUUUCCUUAUUUUCCCUUCUCAAGGAAGUUUGCAUAUAUAAUAUAAUUAGAACAAAUAUAUUUCCCCAACAUCAAACUUCUUUGAAUUUGAUCCAUGUUCCUUUUCACCAGUUUCAAGAGUUGUUUUCCUUUUGGGGUUUAUGAUUAGCUUUAAUUCGUUUCUAAUGUCGAUGUGGAUUUGAUAGGUGGCAUACCUCCAAGGUCAAUUAAUGCAAAUGAAAGCACAACUAGCUCAAAAUGCUAUGAAUUCACAUAACAUGGAGAGUCAAUGGCAAGGCAAUCUUUCUGGUGGUCCUUCCAUUCCAACAUAUCCAAUCUACAUGAAUCCCAUUUCGCCACAAAGCUCACUUGAGUCUGUUGAGCUCAACAGUGCUGAUAACAUGAAUAUGCAAGAAAUACAAAGCAGAGAGGAGUUUUCUAAUUUCCAUGGUUACUCUAGGAAGAGACCAUACAAUAGUGAUUUGGGUGAGCUUCAAGCACUUGCCCUUAGAAUGAUGAGGAACUGAACUAAAAAACCAUCCUUUUGUUUUUGUUUUCUUUUUCAUUUAUGGAGUUAUGAUUCUGGUUCCGUUCUGAUGCUGAUGAUCUUUCAUUUCCAAAACAAUGAUUGUACAUACGGAGACUGUUACCAAGUAAACUUUAGUACUAAACUUUCUCAUCUGCCAAACAAUAUUGGCAUUUUCCCUUUUUUUUAAUUAUUCAGCUCUAUCUGCAACUCGUGCUGUUGGUAUAAUAAAUUACUGAGGGUGGUUCAUUCUUGUCUGUUCUGACAGCUGAAUGGAAACUUAUAGUCACCAAUAAUGGAGCUAACUUCAUUUGAUAAUCAAAUGUAUUAUUUAAAUAAUCUCCUUUUGAUCAUACCUAUCAAAACCAAUGAUGGAUUACACAUAAAUGCCUACAAAUUUGAACCCAUUUCCUACCAUCAGAUAUUAAUUAAGGAAGCAAUUGUUGGAGGUCUUUUAUUUUUCUUUGAAAAGUCAAAGGGAAACUUCAUUUAAUCAAGCAAAGAUACAUCAACGGCAAACUAAAAUAGUUUAAAUUGUUGGGGUUAUGUAGAUCUAUACUCUCUCAUAAAACUAAAAUUGUUGCGUACAUUUUUAUUUAUGAUUAAUAUCUUAAAACUAUUAAAUUUAUUAAUAUAAUAAUACUUAUUACACAUAUAAAUUUUUAAAUCGAUAUGAUGUUUAUAUCAUAUAGAUCGAAUAUUGUACUUAUUAAAUAUAUAUUUAACCAUUUAAUGUUUCUUACACAAUAAAUAUAAUUAGACAUUUUGAAAUUACUCUAUAUUUAACAUGCAUGAUUUAGUUGAAUAAAAUAUAAAAUAUAUUGAUGAAAUCAUUAAAAUAUUAAUUAUACAAAAUUAUAAAUAGAUAUAUUGUUUUAUACUUAUGUAAUGCUGAAAAUAUAUUGUAAUAGGCCCAAUUUACCCGGCCCGUUAGAUAAAUAAACGCCAAAUUAAAACAAAAAAAAACAACAAAACAAAUAAACAAAUAAACGUCCAAUAUUAAAAUAAAAAACCAAUUAGCCCAAUCAGCCUAAGCCCAAAACCCUUAGCCCAAGCCUAACCUAAACCCAAAUACAUUCCCUAUCCCAAUCGUGUUACAAGCCCAACACAAAAAUGAAUCAGAAACCCUAGCAGCAUGGCUCCCAGCGCCGCAGCAGUAGCGCCUCUCUGCUCUCCUUCGCACACGCAGAUGCCUUCGCACGCCUCAGUCGCCGCUCCAGCAAGCCAUCAAGCCGCAAUCAACCUCUGGCCUCGCAUGCGCGCCACUGUCACUCGCGCGAGCCUCAGUACGCACACGUGCUUCUUCUCCUCCAGGCCGUACUUGCAAACAAACAAACAAAAAUAGCACAGCAAAAAGAAAAAGGACGAUUGUAUUUUAUUUUAUUUUCGUUUCGGCUAUAAAAGAGCCAACAAAAUCUGUAAAAAGUUUCCUUUUUUACGAUAUCAACACACAGACACACAGGCAUAUUGUGUACAAAAAAAGAUUCAGAGAGAAAUAAAAAAAUCAAAAAUUCGAAAGGUGAUGGCAGUUUUUUUUCCUUGGUUUUUCUUUGUCUUUUGGCCGUUUCUUUUCAUUUCUGUUUUAUAUCUAUAAGCGAAACAACAAAAAAGGGAAGAAAAGGAAGGAGUCGUACCUUGUCGUAGGAAGCCGUUGGAUCUCUGACCCUCUCCGUUGCAAUCGGAGCCUGGGUGGAGGUCGUAGACGCAAGAGCGGCGCAGUACCUGGGGUAAGCACCUAGGUUUCUUUGAAAGGGGAAAUGAAAUCUGGUGUUUAGGUUUUGUUUUUUUAGUUUAUAAACAACUUAAAACGGCGCCGUUUAAGCCACUUAGUUUCAGCAACCCGCGCGGUGACCCGACCUGGGGAGGAUUCGCGCGUUCUGACAUUUUGGUUUAUUUGCGCUUAGAGUCCCUUCAUGUUUUGCUCAGUUUCAAUCAGAUUUCUUCCCAUUUUUCUUAAUUUGUACCGCAUAUUUAAUUUUAUUUUCAUUUCGAUCCAAAGACAAACGACGCCGUUUGGAGGCUAGACCCGCGCAGUGACCCGACCCGGGGUAGGAUCCGCGCGUUUUAGUUCAAGGGUCUAUUUGCACGACGAUUCCCUAUGUGUUUGGCGUAAUUGCAAUUUGAUUUUCUUUAAUUUUUUCAAUUUGUACAGCAUAUUUGAUUUAGGUUUCAUUUCGAUCCUUGUUUAAAACGGCAUCGUUCUCACUAUUUAGAUUUGAGCAUUCAAACUUUGCGUUUAAUUAUUAUUUUAGUCCCGUUGAGUUUAAUCAAUCACCAAUUUAGUUCGAAUCUGCGUAUUUUAUACUUUUAAUUUGGUAUUUAAUUAGUUUGUUUAGCACAUUUUUUUAAUAUGAUAAAUCUUGUUUUGAUAUAUUAUUUUUGAAAAGAUUAACAUUAGCUCAAUAUUUAACUUUAGAUAGUGUUUUUAAAUUUACUAUUAUUAUAGUUUAAAACAUAAUAAGUUAUUAUUUUAAUUUGUUAUUAACAUUUUUGAAUUCAUCAUACACUAAUAUUUUGAAUCUAUUGUAUAUAUUUAUUUAAUUUUGGUUUUACCCUUUUUAUUAUUUCUAAUUUUAUUUAAAUUCCAAUUUUAAACUCAUUGAUACUAUUGUAUUUAUUUCAAAAUACUAUUAUACAAUGUUGUUAUUAUUUUAUUUCAAGUCUAUUUCGAGAUCAUGUAUAAAUCUUUUUUAGAACGUUUGACAUAGGAUUCAUUAGGCGUAAUUCCUCUUUUAUUAUUUUGGGUAUAUUUUAGAAAUUGUACAUUAAUUUCUUUGAUGUUGGGUUGUCAAUAUUGGCAUUUGUAUAAUAUUAUUAAAACAAUUGUUGCUAUUCUUAUUUGUAUUUACCUAUUGCUUGUUUGUUACUUCUUAGUAUGUGUUUGAAUUAUAAUUUAUUUUUUAAUUACACAUUAAUUAUGCUACAUUUGUUUUUCUUAAAAUGUGUUCUAUUAAAGCACUACAAUCCUUUCAUUUCUUAAUUUUUAAAAAAAAGCUUGGUGUUCAUAGUUAUCGAGAGGAUUGUGCCCUUCAAUUCUUCUCGAUAAAUCUAGAUAGCCAAGUGGUUAUUUUAUUAAAACCAUACAAUUUUAAAAUAAAGCUUUUAAGAUUUCAAAAUGUUUGGAUCCUAACUUACUGGAUAUGAUAUUUUGUUAUCUCGAUUUUGAAAGUAAAGGCAAUACCCGAUAUUUGGAAUCCUCGAGAGAAUUGAGCCCUAGCGUAUUGGGUUUUUAAUUUUUCUCGUUGAAUCUAAAUAAUCAAAUUUUCUUUAAUAAAAACGCAUAAAUAAAAGCACAUUCUCAGGAAUUCGAUACGUCGUGUCCUAAUGCAUUGGAUAUGACAUGUUAUUUUCUCGAAAUGAGGAUUCUUCUAAAAAUAAAGGCAAUAUUCGAUAUUUAGGAAUUUUGUGAAAUCGAGCCCUAACUUAUUGGGUCUUGAUUUUCUCAUUUAACCCAAAUAAUCGGAUAUCCUUCUCAAAAUGCAUAGGUUUUAAAAGUCAAGAGAUAAACUUAAUUUUGAGGAUUUAAAAUGUUACACUCUAACUUAUUGAGUGUGACGAUUUAUUUCUUCGAAAUAAGUGAGUCACAUCAAUCAAUUUCAUUCUAUUCAAAUUCUCUUUUCAAAGGAUCGUAUUUUAAAAAAUCUUUUCAAAUUCUCGACAUUAAGACAUUAAACAAUCAAUUCGGUACCAAUUUUAGGCGUCACGAGGGUGCUAACCCUUUCUCGUGUGUAACCGACUCCCGAACCUGUUUUUUCAAAAUUCGCAGACUUAAAAUUAUUUUCAAGGUGAUCCGAUCGCACCAUAAUAAAAGAUCAAUGGCGACUCCCAUUUUCAUUUUCAAAGUCGACUCCGAUUUUUCAAAAAUUUAAAAAAUGGUUUCGACAUAUACUAGUGCAAAACAAGUUUGUUAGCAUUGACAAGAAAAAUAAACCAAGAAUUAAGAAAUAAAAUUUACUGGGCCGUGGAGGAACCACUGCCUUAGAAACGAAUUCGCUCUGAUUGAUGUAAUCGUAUAGUGAAUGUUGUCUCCUAAGCUUAACACAGUGCUACGAUAUUCGUACACCCAAAUAAAGAAGGUGGAACACAAUUGAUAUUGCUCUUCUCAGGAAAAUCACAUUAAGAUCAAUUUCCAGAAAAGUUUAAAAAGGUCACAGUCGGUUCCGUUUCAAACGCCAAAUUUCUAGAUAGAAUUUACUCUAAUGUAAUUUAGGGAAAAAUGGCAAAAAUUUAAAAAAAAGAUGGAAAAGAGGCGAGGAGGAGGAAAGAGUUUUCUGAAUGUUGCAUUUUGCUUUUUAUAUGAAAAUGUGGAAAAUAACUCUCUAUUUAUACUAGUAACAAAAGGGUAAAAUAGUAAAUAUUCAAAGGCAAAAGAGUAAAAAUCAUUUCCGUGCAGCAGCAAAAAAUAUAUUUUAUUUCAAAUUUUCGUAACAGUCAAAGAAAAAGUAAAAUUAUUUUUAAAGAAAUUAUUUUCUUGAAAAUAAUAUAAGAGUCUUAUCUGAAAAAAUACAAAAAUACGAACCUAGCAACAGCAACACGCGUGUGUUAGACUUAUAACCAAAUACCCUAUGUAACUAAGAAGUAUAGCUAUAUAUAAACUCUGUUAAUAGUCAAUACUUAACCAGUAUGGGAUAUACUUAGUUACCAACCAUCCUUUCUCUUUAUAUAAUAUAUAUUUCCAUAUCAAGAUGCCUCCAACUUUUGUCAUCGUCAUUGAGAUUAAUAACCUUUACGAGGGUUAAAGGUAUAACUAAAUAUUAGGUUCUACUGAUAUAUUUGAUUUUAAUUGAUAUUUAUUAUUUUUAUACAAUUGAUAUUUAUUAUUAUAGUUUAAAUUACGGCUAAAUUUAACAUUCUGAAAUUUUUAUUGUAUUUUGCCCUUUAAAAUUAAGUUGGGAUGAUUUAAAGAUAAAAUUUAACCAAAGAAUUCCUCCAAAUACUUCAUUUUAAUAGCAACAAUAACAUAAAAUAAUAAUAAUAAUAAUAAUAGAAAGGCCUAAAAUGGGAAAAUUAUUGUUUUUGUAAAUUAAACACUCUUCGUUAUUUUUUAAAAUAUUUGUUAAACAAAUUAAGUAUCAUUCCUCCAUAUUUAAAGAGCACUCUUGUUUGUUAAAUUCAAUAAAAGAUGAAAAUAUUAGUGAGUAUAGUAACAAACUCAUCCUUAAUUAAAAAAAUCAAUGAAAAUAAAAGACGGAAAUGACAAAAAUCUUGAACCUGUUAAAAUAAAUGUAGAAAUGAUAGAAAAAUAGGGAUUGAGGACUUGGAUUCAAGAUUAUUAAAUCUCGCAUAAAGAAAGGGUGCUUUCAUGAUGAAGGGGUAUGGCUUGGGGAAAUUUCCCAGGGACCCACUCUACCUAGGUUUAUGUUGUAAUUAGUAGGUUUACCUAACAUAAGUAUUUCUUUCUAAUUUUUAAUAUUAUUAAAAAAAAUACCAAUAAACCAUGUCCUUGUAUUCAUAUUGAUAGACAAAAUGUUCCAUUGAUUGAAUGCGAAACCCUACAUAUGAAAUCACUGUUCAUAAUCAUAUUUGUUACUUUUGUACAUUUUUGUUCAAAUAAAUUUAGAAUAUGGAAUGGACUCCAUUACUUGUACUUGAAAAAGCAAAUACUGAUUAAUAAAAUCGGGAAUGUGAGCUGCCACGUUAAAUUAAAUUAGACAAAAAUUGAACUUUAAAACAUGGAAAAAGAAGACAAGGAAGCCGUGUUCAUAUACUAAUAGAAUUCCAACUCCAAUCUUUGUCAAGAAAUGGACAUUUGAUGACGUGUACAGAUUUAUUAUACUCACCAAUUAUUGUCUUGUCAAGAAAAAGCAAUGCAUGAUUACCAAGCUUACACCUCUUCUUCGCCUUUUAACCCAACUUUUGACUAUUGAUUUCGCAACCCACGUUUGCGUAAUCCUAACCCUUCAUUGUGCCAUCCACUACUAAUCCAUCACAUCACAUCUUCUCACUCUAAUUUUUUUUUUAAAUUUAAUCUUUAUUUUUAUUAAAUCCUCUUAAAAUUGAUAAAAAAUUAUUAUUUUUUAUUUUUGUUAAUGUGGUAUAUACGUGAAUUAUCACUCAAUAUUUAAUUAAUUUUUAAAUUUUAAAAAAUUAUAGAAUUUAUUUUUAAAAAUUAAAAAUAUUAUAUAUAAUAAUUUUUAAAUUUUAAAAACUAAUUAAAUACUAACAUGUCAUUCGCACAACAAUUCAUAUGUAUAUCAUAUCAACAAAGUUAACAAACAAUAACUUUUAUAUAUUUUUUUAGAUAAUUUAAUAAAAAUACAAAUUCAAAUAUUAAAAAAGAUAAAAAAAAUUAAAUUAAAUUAAAUGAAAGCCUAAAAUAAUUUUUUUUAUAAAGUUAAAAUACCAAAAAGUUCAUUACCUCAAUUUUCACAACAAUUGUGUGUUACUUUUAAGAUUAAUAGUCCCUUUUAAUUCUCUCUUUUAAUAAUAUUAUUUUUAAAGUUUGAAUCUGUAUUUUUUUUUCUCCAAGUGUUAUGUGUUUCUUUAUCACAAUUAAUACUUGAGUUUUAUUUAAAUAAGAAGUAUUAUUAAAAAAAAUUAUUCCAUACAUAUUAUGCGGAGUUUUUUAUACUCUACAAACGAAUUAAGAAUGUGACAUGUUGUUGGGGAUCGACCUGAUUAAGCAACAAACAAGUAAAAAAUAGCGGAAAAAAUUAAAAAAAUUGAACACAUACAAAGUUAAUGUGGAAACCCCCUCCAAAGAGGAUAAAAAACCACGGAAAAAGAUAAUUUUACUAUAAUGACAAAAGAAUGAAGAAUACAAAAGAUGAAGAUAAAAACUAUACCCCGAAACCUGAAACCAAAGCACCCUCAAAACAUAAACACAAAAUUCUUCAAAAGUGUUAUGAGUUCUAAUCUUUUAAUGGAUUUUUUUUUCUAAGGUCGUAAAAGAGCCUAUUUAUAGGCUAAAUUCGUAGAUCAAAUAAUAAUAAAAUAAUCUAGACUAAUCAGAGUUCGACUAAAACAAUUAAACAGAGUUUAACUGGGAGAUUAUCUCUCAAAUUUGACUGAAAUAUAAUGCAUACUCAACAAAUCUCUACCUUAACUCAUAUUUUCACAAAGUCCAUCACAGGCCUAUCUUGAACUAUACAAUGAAUUGACUGAGUCGAAUCUAUGCUUAGAAGCUGGAUGACUUCUAGCCUUCGACUUGUGCACUGCCAAAUCAAAACUAACCUGGGUUUGAUUCUCACAAAUACAGUGUCCUAACUUUUCAAAACCAACAUCCAAAAGAGAAUCAUUCUUCAACGAAACGGUCAUACCUUUUUCCCUCCUAUGACCAAGUUGACUUCGACUCCGUAACGAACGAGGGACAUCCGGUUUCAUCGAUCACUAUAAAACCUUCAAGAAUAUAAAGAUUGUCAGUCCUUUUAUGUUUUAACAAAAUGAGAGCCCCAUGAGACACCUUAAUGCCGCUCGACUCGAUGUUGAUUAUGCAACCUUUCGAGUCUAAAAUACUCAAGGAGAUGAGAUUCUUUCAUAAAUCAGGUACAUACCUAACAUCUGAGAGUGUCCUAAUCGUCCCAUCGUGAUCCUAAUUUUAACAGUACCAAUACUGAUUACCUUACUGGAUGAAUUGUUUCUCAUGUGCACAAAUACACCUUCAACCGAACUCUAUGUGGAAAACCAUUUUCUAUUGGGACACAUGUGGAAAAAAACAUCUUAAAUCUAGGAUCCACUUAGAUGUAAACUCAGAUCUAUCGCUCGUUGACACUAAUAAGAAAUCAUCACCAUUUUUGUCGGCCAAAUUAGCAUCAACUACAUCUUUCUCGUUACUCUCAAUUGCCCUUUUAUUUCACAGUUUAUAACAAUUUGUAACUUAACUUCUUACAAUAGCGACACCUUUUGUCUCACUUCUUUAAUGCUACCAAAACGGAAGCUUGCCUAUCUGCCUUGUUAUCCGAACCAAACUCAUUGUUGAGUUUGUUUUUACUCAACAAAUGACCCUUCACAUCUUCAAACGAAAGUUUGUCUCUACCAUAAAUUAGGGUCUCCCUGAAAGACUUGUAUGAAUAAGGUAAAGAGCACAGUAAUAGCAUAGUUUGAUCUUCAUCGUCAAUCUUAACCUCAACAUUCUUUAAAUCAUUCAAAAGACUAAUAAAUUGACUGAUGUAAUCUCUAAGAAGCUCACCUUCGUUCAUGCGAAACGUAAAUAGACGUCGUUUCAACACUAUACGGUUAGCCAAAGACUUAGUCGCAUAAAGAGUUUCUAAUCUUUUCCACAAUACAGAUGAGGUUUUCUCCAUCAAUAUCUCUUGUAAUACCCUAUUCACAAGGCACAACUAGAUUUCAGAAAGGGUCUUUUCAUCAAGCUCUUCCCAUUUUUUCUGAUCUAGAUUCUUAGGUUUUUUCCCGGUAAUGACAUUUUUCAGGUCGAUCUGACCUAGAAUUGUCAUUAUUCAAACUUGCCACAGAUUGAAAUUUGUGAUACCAUUGAACUUCUCAAUGUCAAACCUCGUUACUUCUUUCUCUGAACGAGUUGAUCUACGAAAAUUAAACUAGCUUUAAUACCACUUGUUAGGGAUCGACCCGAUUAAACAACAAAUAAGUACAAAAUAGCAGAAAAAAUUGAGAAAUUGAAUACACAUAAAUUUAACGUGAAAAACCCCCUCUAAAAAGGAUAAAAAACCACAUGCAAAGAUAAUUUUACUAUAAUAACAAAAGAACAGAGAGUACAAAAGAUGAAAAUAAAAACAAAACCUGGAAACCCGAAAAUAAAGAAUCCUCAAAACGUAAAUACAAGAUUCUCCAAAUGUGUUAUAAGUUCUAAUUUUUUAAUGGGUGUUUUUUUUUCUAAAGUUGCAAAAGAGCCUAUUUAUAGGCUAAAUUUGUAGGUCAAAUAAAAAAAAAAUAAUCUAGACUAAUCAGUAUUCGACUGAAACAAAUAAACAGAGUUUAACUAGGAGAUUAUCUCUCAAAUUUAACUAAAAUAUAAGACAUACUCAACACACGUUUUAUAAAAUAUUAUAAAAAUAUAUAUAAAUAAAUAGGACAAUUAUGAUAUUUUUAAUUAUGUUUGUGGAUUCUAAAACUUUUUAAUCUCUAUAUCAAAUAAUUACUCAAUUUUUUUUUGUUUCUUUUAUAUAUUAUACAAUAUUUUUGUGGAAAAAAAAACUUCGUUUUUGCUUUAAAAAAAAAACUUUGUUUCUCUCUCUAUCUCAAUGUUAUCAAAUGGUAUUGAAUACAUCCAUAAACGGGUUCAACAAUUUGAUGUGUAUCCAAACCACUUAAAAAAUGCAUAAAUCAGUUUUAUAUAUUGUAUUGGGUUAAUAUAUAUUUUUGAUAUAUUUAUCUGAUUUAUGUUUAUUUUAACUCAAAUACAUUUAUUUUUUCCCAUUUAAUUUUACUACAUUUGAAAAAAAAAUCCUAAAAAUAAAAAGUAGAAAUAAGAAACUAACAAAUUUAAAUCAUAUCUCAUUAUAAGUUCGUAUUAUAUAUAUUCUUUUUGAUAUAAUGCCUAGAACUACUCAUAACCCCUCUCCAACCCUUAAAUAAGAGGAUAACGCGUUUCAGCACACUCAAACUCACGUCCUUUUACACGGGCAACAAUGCCGAUGCCAAUUGAGCUAAAACUCAAUCGGCUACUAUAAUAUAAUUUUUAUCCCUUGACAAUUAGAUCUAUUUUAAUACUUAUACUUUGUUUGGUUGUUUUAGUAUUUGAACUUGACAAUUAAAUCCAUUUCGAUCCUUAAACUUGAUAUCUGUUAAGAUUUUGUUAUUUAACCAGUGUUUGUGGAACAAGACUAGAUUGGUCAAUCGGACUAAUUGGAUCGAGAACAAAUUGAUAUAUUGGACCAAACAAAGGGGUUGAAUCGAUUGAAUUAGAAACUACUCAAAAUCAAUAAAAAAUCGAAAAUUGAGACAAAAAUCAAUAGUUAAACCAAUUUAAUAAUUUUUUUAAAAUUUUUAAAUAUUUAUUUUAUUAUUGUUAGUCUAGUAGUUGAACUAAUCAAACUAAUUAAAUUAAAAAUUAGUGGUCUAACCGGUUCGAUUAUUAGAACAUUGUAUGCGACACUCAAAAAUUGACGUCAUCAACUGAAAAUUUUCUAUUUUCAAAUGAUGGUAUGACACAAUCUCAGUGUGUCACAUUAUUAAACUUUUAUAUUUUUUAAAUUUAGAGAUCAAAAUGGAUUUACCAAGUUCAAAUAUCAAAGUGAAGCAAAAAAAUAUAUAGAUACUAAAUUACACCUAAUUACCAUGUUUAGGGGCUAGUCGUUAGAACUCACUUGCUCUUUCCUUCUUCAUUAAUCCUUCUUUAAUCUUUAUCACCGUUGCUUAUAUUUUGAGUGGGAAUCUGAAAUCCCAACUCAUUCAUGCUAAAAUUGCAAACCUGAAGUUGCUUUUAUUUAUGGAAAUGUUAAAAUUCAUAAAUUACGUUAAUUCUUUUUUUGUUUCAUGAUUUUUUCUGAUAAUUUAAUUAAUUUAAUUAUCAAUUCAAUUCGUUAACAAUCUUUUAACUUAAUGAUAAAAGUACUAAAUUGUAGACAUAAAUACAUAGGUUGAAUUCCUUUUUAUCUUUAAUUAUCAAAAAAAAUUAUGGAUUAUAAAAUAAAGAUUUUUGGAAGGAACUUAAUGCUUGAAAUUAGUUAAAGAGAAUACAAUAGAGAUAAGGUAAGCAUUUUGUUAUUAGUUGGUAGCACAGAUGAGUUAUUUGUUUUUGGAAAAUACAUCGAAUGGGCCCUGCUUGUGUUUGUGAUUAUCAUUUCAAUUGGGCCUCUGUAAGGGUAACAAUUAACAGAGGGAGGGAGGGAAAUUCAUGCCCCAAGUUAAAUUGCAUUAAUUUAUUCACGCAUGCUUUUUUAUUUAAAAAAAUGGGAAUAUAUAUCUGAGGCCUUAUGUUUCAUAACAAGCAUGAUCAUCACUUGCACUGAUUAGUUACUGAUUUUUUCUUUUCCAAAAUCCAAAUGCAUUGCUUGAUAAAAAGUAAGGAUCGUUUAGUGAUUUAGAUGGAGGACUUCAAAACUUCAUAGCAAUUACAAAUAAAUCAGAUAUUUUAUCUAGUAGUAAGCCUAUGGUUUUUCACAAUUUUACGUUUAUUCUUUUUCAUGCAUCUAUACAUGUACAACUGUAGGAAGUUUAAUGUAUAUACAGUGGAAGAAGUGUAAUACAAGUUGUUUACUUCAAUCCUUAUCAUGAAAAAUCAAAAAAAUCGGCUCCGCAUUCAACAUUGCGAAUGCAAACAAUAUUAAUAUUGCAUAUUAUCAAGAUAUAAUAAUCAAACAUCACGUACAACAAAGCUUACAUUAUUAUGGUCAUAGUUCACGAGUUAUGCUACAUUGAUUAAGCAAAUGUCGAAGUAAUUAAUUUCAGCCUUUUUUUAUUUGGGGGAGGGGGGUGCAAUGUGGGUUAUUAGACUUGAAAACAGGAGGGAAAUCAUGAAGAAAUAUCAAAUUGGGAUGAACGGAGAUCAACGUUAGGUUCCAUAAGUUCAACUUGGGAUCAUAAUCAUGUCCAUUUUAAUAUGAAAAUUAUUUCAGAGUUUCAAAUCGAUUGUCUGUGGAGCUAUAUAUGCAGUAAAGAAGCCAAACAAGGUAGUGUAAGAAGACAUGCAUUUUGUUAGCCUAGAUGUUUUACUGAGCAGGAUUGAAUCUUGCAACGAAUCCGUUACGUGGAGAAUAGGAUAAAAUUAUAGAACCGGCUAAGAUAAAUAAUUAAGUGUGGUGUAGGAAAGGAACUAGGUAACUGUAAUUUUAAUUACUAGGUCAAGAACUACAUGUGGUCCUCAAAAGGCUAAGAGGUCCAUAGACAAAGCAAAAUAAUUAGCUCGACCAAAACCAGAUCAUUUUCUAGCUCCAGUUUUGUCAGAGAUAGGAAAUACACUACUAAUAUUCUAUCUCAAUAUCCAGGCCAGAUUAAUUUAUAGAAAACAGAUUCACAGUAGGGUAGAUUUUAGGGUUUCCGAAAUGAACAUUGAUCCUUUAGGGUUCCUAGCUUUUUUUUUAUACCAACAAAAGUGCAUGUAUGUUUCAAAAUAUGCAGCAUUCAAUUCAAAACUGGAAGGUCGAUGGUUUUUAUAUAAAUGAUCUCUUGUGCUGAAUUGACCAUAUGUAAAUGGAUUGGAUCCCCUCAUCAUGAAUAUUGCUGAGCAUAUCCAAAGGCCAUUGAUUGAAGGUCAUCCACCUCCUGGAAACCCCAUUGUCUGUUGUUUGUAUGCAGGUCUAAGGAAGACAUAGCAUGAGAAGCCUCCCCAAAAGUAGUAGUGGUAGUAUAGGAUGACACAUGAUCUUCUCCUGGCGAAGUGAAUGAAUUCUCGUAAUUACCUAAAGGGUUUGGAUUCAAAAACCCAUUCUCACAGUACGAGUUUGUGCUGGGAUGAUUGGGAAUGUUAGGAUUAAAUUUGAGUGCCAUGCUUGAAUUAUCUGAGUGGAACCAGCUUUGAACAUCUUGGAACUGAGAAGGAAGCUUUCCAUUAGGGUUUGCAGUAACAGAGCCAUUAACAAUGCUCUGAGAUGCUUGUUCCUUGAGAGAAGCAAGCUGCGACUGGAGAUUGACAACCUACACAAAUUCCAAACACAGGGAACUAAGCAAUGGAUUUAGAUAGAUACCUAUAUUUCAAAAAUCAAAUUAGGGUUUCAACUCAUCUAAUUACAUCAUAUCAAACAAGGUCAAAGGGGUGGUGAGAAAAACCUGCUGUUGGAGAGCAAAGAUAUGAGAAACACAACCAUAAAUGGGAUCUUGAAGCCUAGCUUUAGCUUCAUACGAAAUUGUGACUGCAGCUUCGCAGCGAUCACUGACAGGGAGGUGAGCAAGCAGCUUGGAGACAUUGCUUGCACCAAAAACCUUGUGGAUAGCUGCAAAAUGGGUUGCACCCUGUUCAUGGCAGAAAUAAGGUGCAAAAACACAGCCUCUAACACAUUUUCUUCUCAAGAACUUGCAGGCACCACAAGGGGCACCAGAACCUGUCAUUUUGAUUUAUUUUAGUGGGUAAUUUGAGAGAGGGGGGGGGGGGUUGAGCUAAACAUCAUAAAGCAAAAAGGGGAUUAUAAACACGGGAGGAAGAGGGAGGUAGAUCAUUUAAUAAUCAAUUCUUAAUUGCAUCUGGUCCCCUUAUUGGGCUACACUUGCCAUUUGUUUUUUCUUCUCCCCUUUUAAAAAACCCUGUGGCAACCUUUCAUUCUGAAUUUUUAUACCCUCAAAUGAGAUUCCAUUUCGUACCCUUAUACGACAAAACAAGUAGCUUAAAAAAGAAACCCAUUUCUAUUUUGCUUGAUGAUUGGACUUAUAUGCCAAUUAUUCCCCCUGAUUUUCAUUGAAUGUUGAUAUAUAGGCAAACUGAUGAUGUGUCAACUUGUCAAGUUAUUUUGUUUUUAAAUUUGGUGUUUAAAGGCAUGUACAGAAAAGAAAAGAGAAGGAAAGAUGUAUAUAUUAUUCAUUGUUAACACCAUAUGCAAACAGUUUACCUAGCUAUAUCUCCAAAGAUUUAUAAAUAAUUGGUGGAGAUAAGGUUCUAAUUUUAGUGGGAAAACUUUUUCUACAAACUCAACUCCUCACAACGUCUCAAACAUUUACAAACUCUGCUCAUAUCUAAACUAUAAAAUCAUAAUUAUUAUUAUUUUCUUUAGUCGGCUAUUUUUUAUUGUGUCAUAUUAUUUUUAAUUGAUUGAAGGGUAAUAGCGCCAUGCUCCUAAAUUACAACUUCAAGUUGUUUCUCCUCUUCUUCAUCUAAAACUAACGAAUCUAGACUUUAAAAACCUUCCUCGCUUCAAUACCUCCACUAAUGCAUCAAAAUAACAUUUCUAUAUUGUCCAUUAAUUUACUUGGGAUCUGUUUAUAUAAUUUAUGUUGUACAUUUUGAAUCACAUUAAUCUAACUUCUAGUAUUUGUUUUUUUUUAGUUUUUACCUAUCGUAUUUUUCAUAUAAAAUUUGCAGCAUAAUUGUGGCUCAUUGAUUCACUAUUUAUUAAAACCUACUGCAUAGUUGAUUAUAUAUUAAUCAAAUGAAUAAUCAAUUAAACCUUUAAUCAAAAAUUAGUUAUCAAUUAAGUAUUUAAAAUUUUUUCCAAUUGAGUGAUGAUGACGUCCAUUAAGUGAUGAUGUGGCAACUAAUCUGCUAAAUUAGUGGCGUGACAACUGAGGUGGUGACUAAGUUAAAGUUAAUGACAUGGUAGUGGACGUGAACACUCGCAAAUAAUUUUUUUAGGAGGACGAAAUUAAAUUGUAAUUUUACUAUUUUAGUAGCCUAUAUCUUUAUAGUGUAUAAAUGAUUAAAUUAAAUAUUUAUCAUUUUUAGGGGGGCCAAAGUAUAAUUUUAUCUUUACCAAUUUAAAAUUUUAAAAUGCCAAAAUAAAAAAAUUUUCCAUUUUAAGGGGGUUGGGGCCCCUGCCAGCCCCCCUAAUUACGCCCCUGUGUGAACACUUGAUGGCUUGUCAUAUUAUAGAUUUUUAAGGUUUUUUUAAAAAUUUAUCUACAUUAAGAUGAGCCUAAACGUCCAUUUGUCCAAAUUCAUUCUGGGUGUGCAUUUUAGUAAUUUUAUAUAUUUUUUAUAAUGUCAAAAAAUAAUUAUGAUAUGUUAAAAAAAAUUUAAGUACUUUUAGAAUUUUCUGGAAUUUUCUAAUAUUUUUAGAAUGGCUUAAUUCAUCGUUAAUUUUUUUUUAUUGAAGGCUCAAUGAGUGUUUUAUUUAUUUAUUUAUUAAGAGUUGAAUUGCUUUACUUUUUGUGUGGGUACAUAUAAAUUAACUCCUAAGGGAGUCUUAGGAGUAAAUAGGGGCAUAAUGGUCAUUUACAUCUUAAUUUUUUAUGAUUAAUUAAUUUAUAUAAAUAUAAAACCAAUUUCUAAGUGAGUGUUAGGAGUAAAUGGGGUUACAAUAGUCAUUAUAUCUUAUAUAUCUUAUUAAAUUAUAUCUGAGGAAAUAGGGUCAUUAUGGUGUUUCUCUCAUAUAUAUAUAUAUAUAUAUUAAUUUAUAUCUAAUAAAUCAGAAUAGAAUGGUAAAGGCAAAUUAAUAUUUUGAUUGAUGAGGAAGACAAUUCAACCCAUAUCUUAUAUACAAGAAAAUAAAAUAAUGAAGACAAAUUUCAUAAAAUAAUUGACAUAGAUGAGCACUUGAAUAAAUUGUUAUAAAAGUUAGAUUUGAAAGGCAAAAAAGAAAAAUUUGAGAUUAGAGCAGGAUCAAUUUCCUUUAUAGUUGUAAUUCAAGAAAAUAAAUAGUAAUAUAUUUUAGUAAAUACAAAUAAUUUGUUAAUAACAAUAUAUACAAUUUAUGGUUACAUUUUUAAUUACUCAAUAAAUACUCAAUUUCAUAUGAACAUUGACAAUGAAUCAUUGUUGAUUCAACCAAAGGGAUGUUUUGGCAUGCUUAGAAAUAAAAAAUUUGAAGUCUCAAGGUGAUUCUAUAGUCUUUUAAAAGAUGAGUGGUGUUCCCUGAUGGCAAUUACAAAAAAAAAAAAAAAAACACCACCUCCUAUAGUUAAAGUAUUCAAUAAUAUUUUUAACUAAAUAAGAAUUGUAAUUAUGGGGUGUCCAAAAGAGUUAAUUAGAUAAGAAUAUAUAUAUUCUCACAUUUUGAUGAAUUUUUACUUUUUUCCUAGAUAUUGGCUCUAUGCAUCAUGCUUUAAUUUAAGAGCAUAACAACACUGUUUAAUCAUCCAACAUCUUCAAAAGGCAAACAUGAUUGAUAUAAAUUGUUGAGCAAUGUGAAGAUGAGCUUCAUUUUGUUAAAAGUCAGAAAGAUUGAGUAUUCAAAUUCGAGAGUUCCACUAUACAUUUAAUGAUCAUUUUCUUAUAAAUUAUAUUUAAUAGUUUGAUUGAUUAUCUGAGAAUCUUCACAUUUAAUUUAUUUAUUUUUAUAUAGAAUUACUUUUAAAAGAUUAUGAAAAUUUGAUGUAUCUAAACUAACAUUUGAAUUUAAAUAACUCAGAAUACAAACUCACAUGUAAAUUUAAAAAAUGUCUAUAAUGCUUUAAACUAAAAAAAUGGUUUAAUUAAAUUAAUGGUGUUUUAAUUAUGUAUUAAUUAUUUCGAUAGUCCUUUACUUGUCUUUUAAUUUUAAGGGAGUUAUGAUUUUACCACUUCUACCAAAAUCAAAAUCAAAAUAAAAUCUGUGUGCCAAAAAAAUUUUAAAAUUUAAAAAAUAAAGGAAGUUAGAAUCAAAAUGUACUAAACUUAAAUCAGAACAAAUCUUGAAAGACUUAUAUAAAAAUUGAAACAUAAAAUUUGAAAAUUUGUAAACAUGGUCCUUAUCAUUAAAAUAAUGUUGAAACAAACCCUUUGCACCUGAAACCAAAUCAAUAAUUAAAACUUUUAAUUUCCAUAAUCUAAUCAACCUCAAAUACCGUUUCUGUUGCUUGCAAAUUAUUAUCAACCAAAAACAGUACAUGUAUAACAUGAUUGUAAUUAAGUUCAUAAUUAAGCAGAGGUGGACGUAUAGACGGGGUUUGUGCAUGGCAUUGAUCAAUUUCAUUGGGAAAGGAUUUCAAAUGGCUUUCACGUCAUGUGUACUUGUUGGCCACUUAACCCCUGAAUUAAGAUCACUUCCCUUUCUAGACAACAAAUCCUUUUUUAAUGUAUUUAUGGGGAUUAUGUAACUCAACACUUGCUUCUUUGCUUUUUUUUUAUAUUAUGAAUUAUGAAUUUUUUAUUUUCUAAUAAAAUUUAGAUUAAAAUAUUUAUUUUUAUUAGGGUAAAGUCCAUUAACCUUCUAAGUUUGUAAAAACUACACUUCGGCCUAUAGAUGAAAAAUAUCCACUUACUCCUCUUGAGUAUUAAUAAAAACCACAUUAAACCCCCUAAAUUUUAAAUACAAAACAAUUAUACCUUUAUUAAUUAUUAACCUUGUAUCUUUUUUUAUAUCUUUUAAACUUUUAAUUGCAAAAUGAUAAAACUAUCUUUAAUUGCUAUAAAAUUAAAUUAUUCUCAUUCAAGUAAAACUUGAAUAUUUUGAACUCAUGCUUGUAUUCAAAUGAGGAAUAAUAUUUGAUGCACUAUCAAUGCACCACAAUUCGCCACAUCAUAAAUAAGUAAAUUAUUAAAAAGUUGAAGGAAUAAUUACUUAAAAUUAUAUUUAAACGUAAUUAAAAUUAAUUAUAAUUCCUCAUCUUCAUCUCUUAAUAACAAUACUAAAAUUUUAACUUAGGGUUCUAAAAAUUCUGAAAAUAAAAUCUUAUAUUGAACGAAAAUGGUUCUUUUUCUUAUUCUUUAUUAAUAUUGGCGCAAUUCAAUUUUAUUAGCAGAAUGAAUUUGAAGGCAUGAUCUUAUUACACUGUUAAAAACUUUGUUUAUAUGAUUCUGGAUUUUGAGAAAUUUGUGAAUUGUUUUACAAUUUAAACUCUUUUAAUCGGUUGCUUAAACAAGUAAUAUUCCAAAAUAUAAUGCUAACUAUUAUUUAUUGAAAGUGCUAAAUUUGACGUGCAGUAACUUAAAAAAAACUUCUAUUAUACAUGAGAUUCUUUUAAAAAAAAAGAAUUGUUUAAGAUAACCACCUCUUGCUUCAGCUAAUAUAUGAAAUUUCAUAUAAAUUUCAAUAUUUUUUUUUUGGAUUUUUAGUUAAUUCUUCGCUUCAACUCAAUUUUAACCCCAAACUCAAAACUUAAUCAUAUAAAUUUCAAUAAAAUUUUUAAGAUUUAAUAUUUUACCCAUUUUAUGAUAAUACAUAAGGAGGAAGAUAGGAAAUCUAUAAAGGGAGAAUUAUAAUUAAUUUUUUUAUGUUUAAAUAAAAUUUUAAGUAUUUAUUAUAAAGUCCUUCAACUAUUUAAUAUUUUACCCAUUAAUGAUGUGGCAAAUUGUUGUGCAUUAUGUAGCACUUUCAUUUUCGACUUGAUCGUUGGUCCGAGCUAAGGGAUGUCACAUUCGUUGUCGAAGCAACUACAAUCAAUUUACAAUCAAAUUAUGCAAUUUAUUGAUAUGAGUCAACAAUUAUAUAUUCAAUGUGAAAUACAAUCGUUCCCAAACUUUGUACGAGUUUACGAAAGCUCUAAAAUAAAGUUAAAAUAAAAAAGGACUAAAAUGAAAAGUUUCAAAAUUUUAGGGUUGAUGUCGUGACGUGGGGGAGUUCCUUGUCACAACGUGAUCCACAGUCUUACUCUCAUCGCGUCGUGACCUGGGCUUACCCUCAUCUUGACGUCUUGAUUUUUUUACGUCACAACGUGGAUCCCUCGUUGCAACGAUGAACGAACAACGUCGCAACGUCACAAGCUGUUUAUGACAAAAUAACUUACAAACCUGUAAUUUUUAAAACAACACAAAAUCAAGCUACAUGCAUCCUCAAAAUGACCAAAUGAACAAUACUUAGGCUCUUUAACAUGUCCACACUUUAUUCAUAACAUAUCUAAAUCACCAAAAUUGUAAUUGCAACAGCCCGUUUUCAGUGAAAUCAGAACAGUAGUUUCGGGACCACAAAUAUGAGGUCUGAAGAAAAUUUAUUUUAAUAUUAUUUUAUAGUAUAUGGUAUGAUAGGAAUGUUGUAUGAAAAUUUCAUUAAAAAAUUUUAUCGAUUACAUAGGCGUGUCACUUGGCCGUGUGAGCCACACAGCCUGACAACAUAGGCAUGUGUCCCCUGCACCUAAGGAAAAUUUUGACAUUUCGUGAAAAAUUCUCUGAGUUCCCAAUUUAGUCCCUACUUGUUUCUAAUAUAUAUUUUGGGCCUCAAGGGCUCAUGUAAGGGACAACGUGAGUGAAUUAUGAUUGGUUUCCGAUAUGUGUAUUAAAUGAUAUGAAAUGUUCGUAAUUGAUCUGAAAAGCUCAGUAAUGAUUCGUAACCCUGUUUUGGCGACAGAUAAGGGUUAAAGGUAUUACUUUUAUUGGUAUUAGAGCUACAUUUAGCCGAUUCUCGGACUAACAUAGCAAGUACGAGUCUAGCAAUACAUACCAUUAUAUAAAUUAUGAUAGUGUGAUGUCUCCUGAUCAUUUUAAACUUGUUUUUCAUAUAGUAAUAUCGUCCAACCGAGCUGAAUCCGAGGAAGCUGAGAGUAAUGCUUAAGCUUCAGUACAAAUAGCAGUAUCUAGUAGUAGAAAGCCCGUAUCUGAGGGCCAAGGAGGAGAGGCAAAAAUAGGCCUUCUUCUAAAUAAUGAAUGAAUGGUUUACAGAAUUUGUAAGAACAAAUCUAGCUGUACAACAACCUCCCCCUCCUGUCUCUCAACCGGUUCUUGAUAUGCCACAAGGUACAAAGUUUGUUAGAAUCAGUAAGCCUCCGGUAGAUAAAAUUCGUAAAUAUAGGGCAGAAGAAUUUAGAGCUACUGUUGAUGAUGAUCUUGAAAUGGCUAAAUUUUGGUUAGAAAAUACUAACAGGGUUCUAGAUGAAUUAUCUUGUACACCGAUCGAAUAUUUGAAAUGUGUUGUAUCCCUGUUAAAAGAUUCAGCUUACCAAUGGUGAAAUACACUGAUUUCUGUUGUGCCAAAAGAACAAGUUACGUGGGAAUUCUUCCAAACUAAAUUCAAAAAGAAAUAUAUCAGCCAAAGGUUUCUUGAUCAGAAAAGGAAAGAAUUUUUGAAACUUAAACAGGGCUGUAUGACAGUACCCGAAUAUAAAAGAGAGUUUGUUCGAUUAAGUAAAUAUGCCAGAGAAUGUAUCCCAACCGAAGUCGCAAUGUGUAAGCGAUUUGAAGAAGACUUGAUAGAAGGCAUAAAGCUGUUAGUUGAGAUUCUGAAAUUAAAAGAAUUUGUCGUAUUGGUCGGUCGAGCUCACAAAGCUGAAGAGCUGAGUAAAGAAAAGAGACAAGCUGAGAUGGAAACUAGAACUUCAAGUAAAAGAUUUACUGAAAAGUCAUAUAAGUCGACCGCAAAGAAGUCAAAGAAACAUCAUGAUCGAUCUGCUACCUCUGUAGGAUAUUCUAGGAGAAAUAAAAGUACUUGAUACUCUAGUCCAAUAUCUCAGGCUACAUCUGUAGUAAGUGCAGAUAGUAUUAGAAACACUAAACCUAAAUGCAAGCAUUGUAAUAAAUUUCAUUUUGGAGAGUGCCGUAUGAAAAGCAGAGCUUGCUUUAGAUGUGGUUCUUUUGACCACUAUCUCAGAUACUAUCCGAAAAAGCUUGAGAAAGAUACUGUAUAGACUUCAAAGCCAAGCAACCCCGCCUCAAGAGGUAGACCACCUCGUAACCCCGAUAAUAUUAGUGAUGGUCGAGGUACAAGAAAAGAUUCAACUGCUAAAUCUGAAGCACGAGCACCAACAAUGACACAUGUUAUUCGUGCAAGAGAGGAUGCCUCUGCACCAUACGUCAUUACUGGUACUUUUUUAAUUGAUACCAAUAUAACUGCUUUACUUGAUCCUGGUUCAACUCAUUCACACAUCUACACGAAUUUAGUGUUUAUUAAUAAUUUACCUGUUGAGUCCACUAAAUUCGUAGUUAAAGUUUCAAUCCCCCUGGGCCAGUAUGUGAUAGUGGAUAAAAUUUGUAAAAAUUGUCUAUUAAUGGUACAGGGUUAUUGUUUCUUGGUUGAUUUGAUGUUGUUGCCAUUUGAUGAAUUUGAUGUAAUUCUGGGUAUGGACUAUCUAACUCAGCAUGAUGUUGUGGUAAAUUGUAAACAUCAAUAUAUUGUGUUAAAAUGUCAGAAUGGUGAGUUACUUCGUAUCAAAUCUGAUAAACUGGAUGGGUUGUCUAAUGUGAUCGCUAUAUCAGCAUGAAAAUAUAUUAGAAAAGGGUAUAAUGCUUACCUUGCUUAUGUGUUGGAUACUAAUGUGUUUGAAUCAAUUAUCAGAUCAGUGCCAGUUGUUUGUGAAUAUCCUGAUGUGGUUCUGGAGGAGUUACCCGGAUUAGCACCAGUCAAAGAGGUUGAAUUUUCUAUAGAUCUUGUUCCAGGGACAACUCCUAUAUCUAUAGCACCUUACAGAAUGACCCCUACAGAGUUAAAAGAGUUGAGAGCACAGUUGCAUGAAUUAAUUGACAAAGGCUUUGCUCGACCCAGUUCUUCACCGUGGGGCGCACCGAUUUUAUUUGUUAAAAAGAAAGAUGGGUCGUUGAGACUGUGUAUUAAUUAUCGACAACUCAACAAAGUUACAAUCAAGAAUAAGUAUCCAUUGCCUCGUAUUGAUGACUUGUUCAAUCUGUUGAAAGGUGCUACUGUGUUUUCAAAUAUUUAUCUCCAUUCUGGUUACUAUUAGUUACGAGUGAAAGACUCAGAUGUACUGAAAACAUCAUUCAGAACUAGGUAUGGACACUAUGAAUUUCUGGUGAUGCCGUUUGGUUUAACAAAUGCACCCGCGGUAUUUAUGGAUCUGAUGAACAUAAUUUUUAGACCAUGCUUGGAUAUAUUUGUGGUGGUAUUUAUUGAUGAUAUUUUGAUAUAUUCUCGAGAUGAAAAUGAACAUGCUGACCUUUUGAGAGCUGUGCUGUAAACUUUGCGUGAGAAACAAUUGUAUGCCAAAUUCAAUAAAUAUGAAUUUUUGCUUCAGGAAGUUGGUAUUCUUGGACAUAUAGUAUCUGCUGAAUGCAUCAGAGUGGACCCGAAUAAAAUUUCAGCAAUUGUUAACUGGAAACCACCGAAAAAUAUGUCUGAAGUUAGGAGUUUUCUGGGAUUAGCUAGUUACUAUCAGAGAUUUGUUAAAGGGUUUUCAAUGAUAGCUUCUCCGAUGACCUGGUUGUUGCAGAAAGAUGUGAAAUUUGAAUGGACUGAUAAGUGUCAGCAGAGUUUUGACAGAUUGAAAGCCUUGUUGACUGAAUUACCGUUCUAGUUCAGCCUGAAUUGGGUAAAGAAUUUGUGAUUUACAAUGAUUCGUCGUUGAAUAUUUUAGGCUAUGUUUUGAUGUAAGAAGGUAAAGUAAUAGCCUAUGCUUCUAGAUAGCUAAAACCACAUGAAAAGAAUUACCCGAUACAUGAUUUAGAAUUUGCCAACCAUUGUUUUUGCACUGAAAAUUUGGCGACACUAUCUGUUUGGUGAAAAGUGUCAUAUAUUUACUUACCACAAGAGUUUAAAGUAUUUGAUGUUGUAAAAAGACUUGAACUUGAGAUAGCGCAAGUGGCUUGAAUUAUUGAAAGAUUAUGAUCUGGUUAUCGACUAUCAUCCGGGAAAAACAAAUGUGGUUGCAGAUGCUUUGAGCAGAAAGUCACUGUUUGCUUUACGACCAAUAAAUACCUGGUUUUCUUUAUUUUAUGAUAGUUCAAUUAUAGCUGAAUUACAAGCUAAACUGAAAUUUCUGCAGCAGAUUUGUGAAGCUCAGAAAAAUGAGGAUGAAUUACAAGCUAAACGGGUAUAGUGUGGAUUAGUUUUUGAUUCAAAAUUUUGGAUUGGUUCCAAUGAUUGUCUAUUAUUCAGAGGUAGAAUAUGUGUACCGAAGAAUUCUAAACUUGUACAGAAAAUUUUGAACGAAGCUCAUAAUGAUACUAUAUCUGUUCAUCUAGGAAGUAAUAAAAUGUACAAUGAUUUGAAAAAGAUGUACUGAUGGCCGGGAAUGAAACAUGAUAUUUUUGAAUUUGUAUCUAAAUAUUUGAUAUGUCAGCAAGUUAAAGCUAAACAUCAGAUACCUUCGGGUUUAUUGUAGCCAGUGACGAUACCGGGAAAGAGUUACUAUAGACUUUAUAUCAAGAUUGCCCUUAUCUCCGAAAAAGAAAGAUGAUAUUAAGGCAAUCAUUGAUCGUGUGACAAAGUCUGCACACUUUAUUUCGGUACGUAUAGAUUACUCUCUGGACAAAUUAGUAGAAUUAUAUGUUUCUGAAAUUGUCAGGCUAUAUGAAGUGCCGGUUUCCAUUAUUUUAGACAAAGAUCCUCGGUUUAUAUCUCGAUUUAGGAAUAAGUUACAAGAAGCUCUGGGUACACAACUACAUUUUAGUACCGCAUUCCAUCUUUAGACUAAUGGCCAAUCUAAACGUGUGAUACAGAUUCUAGAAGAUAUGCUCCGAUGUUGUGUUUUAGAAUUUGAAGACAGUUGGGAAAAAUAUCUUCCUUUAGUCGAAUUCGUAUAUAAUAAUAGUUAUCAAUCCUACAUUAAAAUGGCAUCGUACGAGGCUCUGUAUGGUCGUAAAUGAAGAACUCCAUUGAAUUGGACUGAACUUAGCAAGAAAAAGACACCUGGAGUUGAUUUGAUCCGUGAGAUUGAAGAAAAGAUGAAAGUGAUUUGGGAUAGCUUAAAAGCAGCCUCUGAUCGUCAAAAAUCUUUUGCUGAUCUUAAACAAAAAGUGAUAGAACUUCAAGUUGGCGACAAGGUAUUCUUGAAAGUAUCGCAUUGGAAGAAAGUUCUUCGGUUUGGCCUUAAAGGAAAACUAAGCCCACGGUUCAUCGGACCAUAUGAGAUCAUUGAAAGAAUCGGGCCUGUUGCAUACCGAUUAGCAUUAUCACCAGAGCUUGACAGAAUUCAUAAUGUUUUUAAUGUGUUUAUGUUGUGACGGUAUCGGUCAGAUCCUUUGCAUGUUAUUUCUCCGAAAAAAGUUGAGAUUUAGCCUAACAUGACUUACAGUGAGGAACUGGUUAAAAUUUUGGCACGUGAGACGAAAGAAUUGAGAAAUAAAAAGGUAGCCUUAGUAAAAGUUCUUUGGCAACGACACGAGAUAGAAACAAUAAGAAAGCAAUAUCCGAACCUCUUUACUGGUAAGAUUUUCGAGGAUGAAAAUUCUUUAAGGGGGAGAGUUGUAACAAUUUGUUUUCAGUGAAAUUAGAAUAGUGGUUUUGGGACCACAAAUUUGAGGUUAAAAGAAAUUUUAUUUUAAUAUUAUUUUAUAGUCUAUGAUAUGAUAGGAAUAUCAUAUGAAAAUUUCGUUAAAAAAUUUUAUCGAUUACACGUCUAAUUUGUUAAAAAUGACUAAAUUGAAAAAGAUGCAAAACUUAUUAAUUAAAAGAAAUAGUGAUUAAAUAGCUUAACCAAUAAAUAAGGAGAGACUUAUGCCAAAAGCAAAUGGCUGAGGCGGCAUAAGCCUUAAAAAGAUGAAAAAAUGGUGUGAACUAAGGGCAAAAUUAGAAAUUUUGCCAAAUUUAAUGAAAUAAAUGAGAAAUUAAAGAAUUCUAGACAUUUCAUCAUCAUUGUCAAUCCUAAAAACAGACAUUGAAGAGGGUUUAAGCUGGUUUUUCAAUUCUUGCUCCAUGUCCAGAUAGACCAAGUUUGGAAUUGGGUCGAGAAAAAUAAAAAGUAUCGGAUUAGUAGCCUACGAACGCGAAUAUUGUCAAGGUAAAUUUGUGUAACUAAAUUGUGUAUAUUUAUAUGUUUGAAUUAAAUGUUAUAUAUGUGAAUUGUAUAAUUUCCAUGUAUAUGAAAUUGAAUAAAAAUCUGAUAAUGCCCGAUAAAUGUUAAGUCCCGUUUGAACAAAUGAAAAUCGAUGGAUACAAGUUUCCCGUAUUGGUUGUAGUCCUACAUAUGUUGCAGACACAACACAGCUCGAAAGAGCGUCUUGUUAUUAGCCCUCUCGAGCUUCCCGUUAUAUGGUUCUUACAAGCUUCCCGUUAAUAGCUCAUCGGAGCAUCCUGAUUGGUUGUGAGCCUACAUGUGUUGUGGACACACCGCAGCUCUUAUGAGCUUCUCGAUUAUGGCUUUUUGUGAGGUUCCUGUUAAUUGGCUCUUUGUGAGCUUCCCGAUAUGGCUCGCUUGAACUUCCCGAUAUUAAGCUAUCCAAAGCUUCCCAUUUUUGGCUCUUUGAUAUUGGCUCGCAUGAGCUUCCUCAAUAUGGCUCUUAUGAGCUUCCCGUUACAUGGCUCACAUGAGAUUCCCAUUACAUGACUCACAUAAGCUUCCCGUUAUAUGGCUCGAGAGAGUGCUUCCCGUUUAAGUGUUCUUAUGAGCACUCCCGAAUAUGAAUUGACGGAUUACAGAUUCGUACACUUCAUUAUGUACUACCCGAUGUCCAUCGAUAUUCCAUAAGGUUCAAUGGGCAAAGUUCUAAUAUAAGUUAAGAUAAGAUCUGAAUGAAUCAAUAAUUGUAUUUACCUGAAAAUACAUGGAAAGGUUUAUACGAUGAGCUCAUCCCUGUUACUUGAAAUGCACAUGAAAUACAUUACUAACAUGCUUGAUGAAUAUAUGUGUUUAGGCAAUUGGCCAAGUUGCUUUGGAUGCAUGUUUAUUUGUAUGCUUACAAUUGUGAAAUAAAGGUAAGUUAAAUUACAUGUUAUACGAACUUACAAAGCUUAAAAGAUUACUUUGUUUUAUUUCCUCUAUUUUAUAGUACUCGAAAGCUCGUGAAGAUUAGAACUUGGUUGGAGUCAAAUCACACUAUCCCUCGGACUUCUCGGUAUAUAAAGUAAGUUAAUUUUUGCUUAGAAUGACAUGUAUAAGUUAAAUUGGCCAAAUGAUGGCAUAUAAAUACUUGGUUGGAACUAGCCAUUGGAAUGGCUCGUAAUAGUUAUAUUUUGAAAUAUAAGUAUAUAUAUGUGUGUAGCUUUAUCAUGCUUGGUAUGUGUUUGAAAUGGUUAAGUGUUGAAAAGCAUAUAGAUAUGGAUGGUUAGAUUUAGUUAGUAUAUUUAGUCCAAUAUGCAUAUAUGUGAAAUGGGUUAAUUUAGUAAGUUUGAAUACUUAGUUAUAUGUGAUAUUACGUCAUACUUAAUACAUAAAUUUGGCUUGAUUUGAAUGGUUUGAAUUGGUUGGUGAACAUGUUUAAGUGUUUAUGUAGGUAGAAGGCAAUUUGGGUGAGAAAUAAGGCUUGGGAAUGACCUUAUUUUGUCUACACGAGCAGAGACACGGGCAUGUGGUUUGGCCGUGUGAUCUCUGCAUCUUGAAAAUUAAUUAAAAAAUGCUCUGAAUUGCCCACACGGGCAGAGACAUGGGCGUGUGUCUCAGCCGUGUGACCCUUGCACCUAAUUAUUGUAAAUUAAAUUGUUCACACGGCCUAGCACAUGGGCAUAUGGCUUGGUCGUGUGACCUAAGUUAGAGAGUUACAUGAGUAUGGAUACGGGUUGGGACACGGCCGUGUGCCUCACAUCGAAUGCCCACACGGCCUGGGACACUCACAUGGCCUGACCACACGAGCGUGUGCCCCCUGCACCUAAGGAAAAUUUUGAAAUUUCACGAAAAAUUCUCUGAGUUUUCGGUUUAGUCCCUACUUGUUUCUAAUGUAUAUUUUUGGCCUCGAUGGCUCAUAUAAGGGACAAUGUGAGUGAAUUAUAAUUUGUUUCCGAUAUGAGUAUUAAAUGAUAUGAAAUGUUCGUAAUUGAUCUGUAAAGCCCAGUAAUGCUCCGUAACCUUGUUCUGGCGACGGAUAAGGGUUAGGGGUGUUAUAGUAACACUCCAAAAUAUAGGGGGUUAGAUAAAAUAAAUAAUGAAAGAAUGACUUACUCUAGAUGAUUAAGUUGUUAGUGCACUUCUUAAAGGUCUUAGGUUCUAUCCACACCUCUUCCAUUUCUGUUCUUUUAAUUUUUAGCAAACAAAGAUUAUACUAAAAUAAAUAUUAUUUGGACUGAAAACUUAACAAGUGUGAGCAGUAGCCCAAAUGGUUAAGCCUUUGCAUCUUUCCUUUAGAUUCCUAAAUUUAAGUCACGCUAAUCUCCACUAUUUCCUUUUUAAAAUUUUGGCCAAAAUUGGGUAUUUUACCCACAGCUCCUUAAAAGUUUGAAGACCUAGCUAUUUAUUCAUUCUUAUCCUAAUUAUCCUUGGAUUUUGACUUCAUUUCUAAUUCAAAUUGAACUCUCCCUCUUUUCCCUUUAUAUUCUUCUUUUCCUUUCUUCCACUUUCCUUUUCAUCAAGUUUUUCAUUUAACUACUGCAAUUAUUUUUGUUCCCGAAUAAAAAAUUAUUCCUAAUAUUAACUCGUUUUAUCACUAGAACCGUAAUCGUCAUUAGAAACCCCUCAAUCUCUGCCAAGAAGCGUUAAGUACGCCUCAAAUCCCAAAGUUGAUCUUGAAUCUUUAUAGAUUUUCUAUCUAAUGAUAAUCUUGCGAUCGAUUAAAAUGAUCCUUCUCGAUUGUUCAUCAAAUCUUUCGAUAAUCUUGAUGAUUCUUGAAAACCGUUAUUACUUCUUGUGUAAAUCCCGUUUGAAGGAUGCAAUUUAGGUACAAAAGUGUCAACUUUGUGGUCGAGUUGGACACAUUGUACAAAAGUGUUAUUGAUGCAGUUGUAAACUAACUAUAAAUUUGAAUAAGGCAAGUGCACCUAUCAAUUAAUAGUAUAGCUACGGUGAGCAAAGAUAUCGUUCCCACGAUGACUAAAAGUACUAGUAAUUACUAUCUUUCUAUUAUUUCACCAACAAAUUGGAGAGAUUGAUUAAAACUAAAAUUAACUAAAUUAAUUAACUAAAGAACACGACAAAGAAUGAAUCAAGAAAACAAACAUUAACAACCAAGAAGCGAAACAAUACCUAGGAAAGAAUCCACCUAGAUUUCAUCUGUCAUUAUUAAUCUGAAUUAAACAAUUUCUUCACUUAGUAUCUUGAUCUGUAGAAAUCCCUAAAUUAUGCUAAUAUCUCUUUCGAGAAUAAGAGCAACUGACUAUAGGUUGAUUAAUUGAAAUUUCUUUCUAAUUAAAACCCCUGUUAUCGCAUUAACUCGAUCUAUAGAUCCCCUUAUUAGAUUUGACUCUAAUCUGGUAGAUUUAUAUCGUCCUAUUUCUAGGAUUGCAUGCAACUCCACACAAUUAUGUUAGAUCUACUCUUAAACAAUGACUUUUCCUCCUCUGAUUUAAGCACAUCAAACAUGGAUUAAUAGUCCAGAAAUAUUAAACUAAUAAUUAAGCACACAUAAUUGAGAAUAAGAUUCAAGUAUUUAUUGCGUAAAACAUAAAUCAAAAGACAAAAUCCAUCCUAGGGUUCAUUUCCCUAGGUAUUUAAAAAAAUUAGUUCAUAAUCGCAAAUAAAAACUUCUCAAAAAUAAUAUAACCACAAGAAAUAAAGAAACUUAUAAUAAACUUCAAAGAAAUCAAAAGAAGAUCUUCAAUCUUGAUGGAAAUCUGCUUCAAAGUUGGCUUCAAUGGUGUUUUUCGAGUUGUUUUCUUGAGUAUUCUCUGACGGCUCUCUCCUCUCUUUUUAUCUUUGUCAUAUAUAUGUUUUAAAAUGCCUGAAAAACCUAAAAAACGCGUUGUCCCGUAGGUUUAGAGUGCAAUUCGCGAUGUCAUAUAUAUAUAGUCUCACUUAUCAGGAAAAGAAGCUACUUCUAGAUUGUCGGCGCAAAUACAUUGUGUGAACCUUCUAACUGCAACACUUUUUACUCUUUCCUCCUUGUAUUAAACUAAUAUUAGAAUUUAUUAAUAAAAUUAAAAUUUGUUCAAAAUUUACCGUAAUUAUUAAGAUAUCCUGGGAUAUCAUUUCCUUAUUUCAUAUAUUUUCAUUUCUUUUCUAUUAUUUUUUAUCCUUAAAAAUUUUAAUUAAUGUAUUUAAAAUAGUUUUUUAAUGAAGUAAAGUAAAAUUUAUAAGAUUUAAUAUGUGCAUGCAUAAAAUUGAUUAAAGGAGAAGACAAAAAUGAAAUUGCCAUAAAUGAGAUUUUAUUAAAAAUAAACUUACAUUUAUUAACUUGAAAAAUAUAUUGUAUUUUACAUAUAGUAGAAUAUAAUUUAGUUAUAGUUUAAUGUAUUAAUAAUUAAAAUAAUUUUAAAACUAAUUUGUUUAUUUAAUUUUUUAAUUAAUAAAAAAUUAUUUAAAAUUCACCAAAUUUAAUAUUUGCUAUAAACGAAAUAUACUACUUCAAAACGAAAUAGUUAGCAUUGACAGAUAAAUAAAUUAAGCGUAAAAAGAAAAUAAUCAUUGUUCUUCCAAAGCAAAUCUGUCAUGAUCGGUAUAAUGGUGUAGUGGACGUCGCCCCCAAGGUUAACACAAUACUUCAAUAUUUGUACAUUUAAAUAAAGAAGGUGAAACAAAAUUGGUAUUGCUCUUCUCAAAAGUAUUCAAAAAAUUAGAGUGGAAACUAAAGAUGAAAAUUUGGUCGGAAAUUUGAUUGGAAAAGUGUUCUGAACAGAAAAUAGGCGAGCUAAGAAAGGCGAAGAAGAGAUUGUUGUUUGCUUGUUGUUGUGGAAAAAUGAGAAAAAUGACCUACUAUUUAUAUUGUUUUCUGAAGGGAUAAAAUGGUAAAAUAACGGUGUCAGUUUCCAAAAAUAGCAAAGGAUUUUCCUUAAUCGAAAAUAUUCUGCAACAGAAUACUUUUUGGAAUUGAAAAAAAUCUUGAAAAACAAAAAAAAAUUAUGAUAAAAGGAACAUAAAUUUUAUUCACAAAGAAAACAUGCGCAAUAGUGUUGUAAACACGUGUUAACUAGGACACAAACUGAGCAACGGCGGUAACACGUGUAUAUUAGACCUUUAACCCCAAUUUACUCAAUAAGAAUUAGAGACAAGACUAUAUUUAAAUUCCUUUAAAAAUAUUUCCUCAAUCAAUGUGGAAUUACCAAUUUUGUUUAAGUGUUAAUUUACUCUUUUUUUUGUUUUUUUAAUCUUGAAGAGGAGUGAUUCUAACUUUUGUUUCACAAAUUAGAUGUUAGUAAGGCGCGUUGUUGAAUUAAUAGAAUUGUUUAGUUGGCACAAAUUAGAUGUUAUUUAGGUUGAUGAGAAGCUAAAAAAACAACACAUCACCACCCACCGGAGCAAAAUAAACAACAGACGUAAAGUGCAAAGAGAUAUCCCAGAAGACAAAAAUGAUUGAUUUUGCAUUUAAAUUUAGGACAUUCGACAUUGAACCAUGUUUAGAUGUCGGGUAGUGUAUAUAUAUACACUCCACAAUCUACAAAACUUCACAGCUGUUUCAUUAAUUGAUAAUUAAUUUCCCAUUUUCCUUUCCACCUUAAAUGUGUGAUCACAUGAUCCAAAGGGAUUGUCAUAAAAAGUUAUACGAGGUUAUAAGGAGAAUUGACCUCGUAUUUGAAGACAUUGAGAUCAAGGAUAUCGAAUCAAAACAACUUUAAAAGUGUCUGUUUCGUUUCCUGUCGGAUUACAAUGUUAAUCCUUUAAAGCUUGCAUCAACUUUAAAUUAACUCCUUAAAACAUCUAAUUACAAUUUAUUUUAAAACCAAUACUUUUAUACUAAUUAUUUAUACUUAAUUAGCAUCACUUUAGAUAAAGUGAAUUUUGAUGCCCAAAAGCUAAGCAAUUAAACAAUAAUUUAUGGAAUAAAGAAAAUAUUCUCUUUGAACCCCCUCUAUUAUUUUUUAAUUUUUUUAGUUAAUGUCUACAUUUGUCCCUAUAUUUUAGGUAAAAAUUGAGAUUUGUUAUUAUAUUUUAUUUUGAUUGAUAUUUGUUAUUUUACUUUUUAAUUAAAGAGAAUUUUACCAUUAUUUUUUUAACUCUCUAUUAAAUUUUUCCUAGUUUUAUCUUUAAAUUUUUGCUAUUCAAAUUUAAUUUAAAAUAAUUUAAAGAUAAUUUUUAAUUAAAACAUGUUUUUAAUGUUUUAUUUUAAUAUUUAAAACAAUAAAUUAAUUAAUAUAAUUUUAAAAAUUAAAGUUAUGUUAUAUUUAACUUUCAAGUCUUUUAAUUUAAUAAAUAAAAAUUCUAAUUUAAUUUAUUAUAUUUUAUAAAUUAAGUUAUGGUUAACUAUUAAAAUAAAAUAUUUGAAAGAAUAUUUUUCUUGUUAAAAUUUGUUUUCAAAUAAUCAAAAUCAAUAUUGGGUGGUAAAUUUUAAUUAAAAAAAUCAAAGUUGGUGGAAAAUUUCAAAAAAAAUUCAAAUUUUAGUGGCAAAAUUCAAUCACAUUAAAGUUGAUUGACAAAUUUACGUAUAUUCUCAAAGUAUAACGACAAAUUUAAAUUAAAAUAAAGUAUAAUGGUAUUGUGGGUCCUCUCUAAAGAGGUAAACGAAAGGACUAGCCACCAAAUGUGCUCCAUUCUCAUGAAUGAGGAUCAAACUCCCGACCAUAAGAUUGAAGGAUGAGGUGAGCAACCACUACACCAUACCUUAUUGUUGGCAAAUAUUGUAAAAAUACAAACAUCAUUCAAGUGCCAUUAAGCAUUUUCAUGCAUAAGUUGACAUUUUAACUUGCAAUUAUGUUUGACCUCCAACCUUAUCUUGGAAAGUAUGAACUGAAAUUUCAUUAAUACCACAAAGAACAUGAGAAAGGAUUGUACGAAACAGAGAUAUUAUUCAUUUCUAAUAGUUUUAUGUCACAUCAAUAAUUUUAUCCUGAAUUUCAGGAUUUUAAUUUGGAUCUGAUUUUUUUCAGGACGAAAAUGCUAAAAUUCAGGAUAAAACGCUGAUGUGGCUCAAAACUAUUGGAAAAGGGGUACAGAUGAUGUGGCGUCACUGUUUCAUACAAUCUAUAACGCCCCAAAAAUCUAAGUCUUUAAUUUUUGCAUGAUUUAACACAAAUUGUUUGUUUGCUUUAAUGACUAAGUGAUUUGGGUGUGUAUGAGAGUGUUUAAGAAGCUUGGGUUCAAGUCUUGGCCUUGGCAGAAUUUUUAGUUUUCCUCCUAACUGGAUCUGGUCACUGGCACAUAGGCCUUAUAAAUAUUAGUGCUUGAUUUAUGAUACAAAAAGGGCUUGUGGUCUAGUGGCAAGGUGGCGUGUGGUGAAACUAUGAGGUUUGAGGUUCAAGUCUUGGGUUGUACAAUAAAAUAUUUUUUUUGCUACUUGUAGGUAAAGGAGUUAGACUGAAACACAGCUAAUGGGAGUUUGAAUAAAGUUUGAAUAGAGUUGUUGGGGGAGUUGGAGGAGAAAUUGGUGGAGUGAAUCAAUGAGGAAUAAGGGGAGAGAUUUUAGGAGAAAAUCAAGGAGUUGUUUGUGAGGAGAGUUGUGUCGUUUUGGGAAAACUCUAGCUAGAGGUUUCAGCUGGGGGUUUGCUUGUGCCGAAUUUCGUUAGUAGGCACUGUGGUAAUCAUUUUUUGAAGUUGUUAUCUUUUUGUCAGUUUUGGUUUCGGUCAUUUUUGUGUUCUUGCCUUUUCGCUUUAAGGUGCCAAUUUUGCCAAGUUUGGGAAGUACCUCUCGGGUUUUUGCUUUCUUUUUCUGCUCUUUCUUUUCCUCUUCCCCUCUCCUCUUGUUGUCGAAUUCUCUUUUCUCUCUCUCUUCUCUUCUUCUUUUCUAGUCGUAUAUAAUUCUCUUUCUAUCUUUAUUUUCUACCUCUUUUUAUUUUCUUUUAGAUUGAUAAGCUAUCUUCAUUUAUUGUCUGUGGUUCAAUUGUAUAUCACCCUUCUCUGUCGGUUCGAACUCAUUGAGGAUUGAGGGAGUAUCAAGUAUUAUCAAGUCGUCGAAACCUUUCUGUCUUCUCUCGAUCUAAGGCAGGUAUGUGGGCUAGCAUUCUAGGGGUAGGUUGAAUGCUUGUUGUAUUUCUGUAAGUUAUCAUGAAGUGGAUUUAAACCACACGAUUAAGCAAUCUUGUCUAAUAAAUCCUUUUGCAAUGCAGAUAUCUGUCAAGAAAAUUUUUGUCAACCUUCAUCAGUGGUAUAAGUGGGCUAAGCCACUUUUGUCAGUCGAGGCAAGUAUUAGUUUAUUUUGGUUAAGGAUGUAAAAGAAAGAGAUUAACCCUAUUGUUUGACAACUAAUGGAAGACUUGAAUGAAUGCAGAUUUUGCGUGUUCGUGGAUCUUAGUGCGUAAUCACAAUUAGGUGUGUAAUCGCCUCACUGCAACCGUAGAUCGGCGAAAAGCUGAAAAGUCGUAAAUACGGCUUUUGAGAGCACACGGGCGUCCAGUAGCUCGAGUGGUAAGCUCAACUUACGAUUCAUGGUAAAAUGACUGAAAUACCCUCGAAGGGUAAAAUGAUCGAAAUACCCUCGAAGGGUAAAAUGACUGAAAUACCCUCGAAGGAUAAAAUGACCGGAAUACCUCCGAAGGGUAAAAUGAUCGAAAUACCCUUGAAAGGUAAAAUGACCGAAAUACCCCCAGAGGGUAAAAAGAUCAAAAUAUCCCCAAAGGGUAAAAUGACUGAAAUACCCUUAUAAAGUAAAAUAAUGUUAUACCCCUAGAAGAUAAAAUGACCGUUAUAGCCUUAUGAUAUGUACGGCUGAUUUGUUUUAUGAUAUAUAUAUGAUUGUUACUGAGUAUGACGUUCUGCAUUCACGAAUGGUCUAUGACGUGACAUAUUGCAUGGGGUUGGGAUUUUGAUAUAUGGAAAGUAUACUAUAUUAGUGGCUUGGCCACAUAUACUGUUACUGGCAGCUUUGCUGCGAUUCUAUUACUGGCAACUUUGCUGCGAUAUUGGUGUGUUGGAUGGGUGGGUCGAUUUUAUCCCCACAUGGUGUGUUGGUGGUACAGAGUGCUGUGUUGACUGGAUUGGGAUGGAUUGCAUUAUUGCAUAGUUACUGUAUUGGGCUAAGGCUCGCACAGUUACUGUUUUGGGCAAAGCCCUACACUGUAACUGAAUAGGGCUCAGGCCCAGACUGUUACUGCAUGUUGUAUGCUGACUGUUUGGUAGGGGAUUACACACUGAGUUUUGUAAACUCACUCUCUCCUUUUUAUUGUGCAGGUAAUUCUCAGCAAUAGGCGAUUUGGUGCUGCGAGGGACUCGAAGGUGGCCACACAACUGCUGUUGUUCACACUUGUUUUUAGUUUAAUUUAAAAUUUUAAGUUGGGUUUUGUUUUGUAAUAAGCCUCUAAGUUGGUUUAAAUUUUUAAUUGCGCUUUUGCUUACAUAUAUUAAACUGCUAGUUUAGGAGAAGCAAAUUUUUAAAAUAACUACUGUUUUCAAAGUCACGAGUUUUAAACAAUAGAAUUUAAAAAGCUUCCGUGAUAUAAGAUCAACUUAUUAAAACAAUAUCAGAUAACAAGACAAACAUUUUGACUAGUUGGUUUGUCAAUUAAUAGUAAAGGGGUUUUUUUUAAACUUAGAAACAAAUUUUCACCAACGAGUUCAAAUUUCGAAAGACACUUCAAUAUGACACACCGGAUUCGACCAUAACGUCUAGGCCGGGUUGGGGGUGUUCCACAAUCCUUUCCCCAGAGAACAUUACAGCAAAAGAUCUAACACAAUAAACUACAAUUAUUGGAUCAAACGUCCCAAUUUGAACCACAAAUAGAAACAAUAGGUAUAAACAACAAGGACUUGACUCAUUAGAUUCAAAAACCACAUUGAGCAACAAAACUUCAUAGAAGUUCCACACUAUUAGAUAAGCCAAACAACACCAAUAUAAACUAAAACAAAAAAUACACAACAUGCAAAAUUCCAUCGAUAUUAAGGCAUUUUAUGUAAAAAUAGGUAAGGUUUUGCAUACGUAGGUGAUUCAUCUCUUAUCUUUCAAUAUUAAUCCAUUAUAGUGAAACUUGUUAGUGAAUUCAACUCUAAGCAUGGUCUCACAAGUGUAGGAGAUUCAUCGAACUACGUAAAUAUCUUUAAUGUAUUAUAAUAUUUUUUUAUUAUUGUCUUACAUCUUUACACGUACUAUUAUUGAAGAGAUAAGUCAAUAAUUGUAACAACAGAGUGAGUAAAUAUAAUUUCUAGAUGUAACUACGACAGAACAAAAUAAACAGAGCUCAAUUGUUUACGCACUUAUGUCAUAGGUCUUACCCAAAGAGACAAUCCAUUAUCUUCAACCUUGUACGAAUAUUGAAUUAAGUUCUAUCAGAUAUUGAUAUAGUAACCUUAGCUUUGCACUAAAGAUCUAGAUCUCUCUCCACUAAAAUUUUCCCUUGGAAACUUAGUUUCUAAAACCAAGUAACUCACUUGUUUUACUUACAAAAGGCACUCUAAAUUGUAAUUCCUAUAGAACAAUUUAAGGGCUAAACUCUUGGUACAUAAAAAUUAUGCAAGUCUAUAAUAUAGCACAUUGGCUUUGCUAACAAUAAAUUGUUGAAAAAUCAUGUUUAAAAAAUGGAGCGAAAAAUAAAUCUAGGAAAAAAUCAGAGUUUUAAUUUUUUUUCCAAAAUAAGAACUUGGUUGUGAUAUUUAAAGUAAUAAACAUUUAAUCAAAAGUGCACAUUUUCGAUUCGUCUAGGAUGAACUCUUCGAUCGAGUAGUCUUCUCCGCUAUCCUUAAGCUCACAUCUGUCGAGUGUUGGCUUGCUUCGAAUAAAAAAAUUCACAAAAAUUACCAGUGGGGUAAUUUCACAAUUUCUCUAAACUUUUAGGCGAAGUUGUAAAUAAAAAAUAUCUAUAGAAAUUUUUUGAAAUAAUUAACUAAAACCAUCUCACAUGUAUAAGAUGCCUUUGCCUUUAGAUCCCAAGCAUGCCCACUUCACCACAUUAUUUCUCUACAAUAAUAAACACCAAAAGCGUGUGAGCUUAACCAAGCUCAGUGAGUUCUUAAGAUACUAUAAUAAAUCACAAGCACAAGAGUUAAAACAAGCAUGCUAAAUACACUUAUCGCAUGGCGUCAUCAAACAUUAUAACAUAUUGAUACAUUGGUAACUUGUGAAGUUGAAAAUGCAUAACAAUGGCUCUCACUGGAUACUCGGAUCUCCAUCACACUAUAACUUAAAAGAGUCUACAUGUCCCAAGUAAGUGUUGCUUGAAGCUAACACUGUCCAACACACCAACAUGUCCCAUGAAUGGAGCAAUGCUCUAUAUUCCUUUAUCCCUCCACAUGUCCCAAUAACAAAACACAUAAAAGAGUACUCAAAUCCUACGAAAUGCCGACUAUAUCCAAUGUUUUCAAAGGUUCAUAAGGCGAAUAUAUCCAUUUCACACAUUAAUUUUUGGUUGAUGCACACUCACACUUAUCAUGUUGAUAUUUCUUAUCACUUUACUGUAAUACACUAAAAGUGCUAACAUAUAGCUCAUUGAGUUAAGCUCACUUUCAUAUCAGAGGUGGGUGCAUAAACCCAACUAUCCACAAGGCAUAUUCAGUCACAUAUUCAACAUAUGUAAUCACAUCACACGCUUAGCCAUUCACAUCACAUAUACUCUUGUUUAUCAAAUAAUCAAAACUCAAGUAAGAAUACUCUUAGGAAUUAGAUCAGAUGUUUUGAUCACCUAAGCCCCUUUUAACUCAUUGUUUUGUGCAUUAAUUAUAGUACACAAGAUUACUUAGAUUAGCAACUAUCUUCCAUAACAAAGCUCAAGUUAGUUUUUGUUUGCCUUUAUCCUUGCUUGUAGGGAUUGCCAAAUGAGUUGGCACUUUAUAUACAGAUCAAAUGCAUUACAAGGCAUUACAAACAACAACAACUAAGAUUACAUCACUCUAAAAUCACAUAUCAAAACCUCUAGAUCUUUAUACCGAAAACUUAGCUAAUUUUGCUGAAAAUACGAUUUCAGCACUCAAAUCUUGUUUCAAAACCUUAAUUUCGAUCUUAAUCUUCCUAAAUAUCAUCAAUUACAUAUUCAAACCUUCAAUUUAAUCAACUUUUGUAGAUCUCAUCCUUCCAGAAAAAUCAAGCCAAAUGAGUUUUAAGGUUCAAAGAUCAUUUGAAUCUUCCAAAAUUACUUAAAGAUUUGCUAAAUUAGGAUUAAAAAUCUUCUAAUAGGAUCAAAAUAAGUUGAAAAGAGCUUUGAAACAAUACUUUAACUCUAUAGAAGGGGAUCCACCAUUUUUAAGCUUAAAAUCUAUUGAUAUGUUAAAAUCGUUAUUAAAUCAAUUAAAACUCAGUCUGAAAAGCUAGCACAUUUGGUUUAUUUAUGAAAAGUCAGAAUGUUACCUCAAUUUUGCAAAAUUGAUGAGCUAUAGAGUUAUUUCAAGUUUGAACGUGCGAAGAACCUUAGAAAAAUUGAAAAUGAAAUCUUAGCUGUUCUUUAAAAUUUAAAGUAUAUUUUGUAUUUGGAGAACUUAGAAAUAAAAAAAAAGAUUAACUAAUUUCGAGAGAAAAACAAGAAUGGUGUUUGGCAAAAAUUUUGAAGAGUUGAAGAAUGAUAGGGAAGGAGACGGUGGGUGGUUUAAAUAACCCAGCAAAAUUUAAAAAUUUGGCUUUUGCCCCUUUGACCACCUACAGUUUCCUCCCUUUUCCAAAUUGGUCCUUGUUUUUAAUACCUGUUUUAACCAAAUCAAUUUCCAAGCACUUAAUUUUAAUCUCUUAACCUAAAAUUUUUCAUUUUAAUUAUUUAAAUAUUUUAUUUAAUUAUUCCUAAUUAUUUAGUUAUUUAACCUAAUUACGAUUUUCGGUUCACUAACCCUUGAUUUACUAACUCAAUUUUUGGGAUGAGACAUAAAUGCAUUCUACUAAUUCAGCUUGGGUUUCACUUCCUCUUCCUAUAAAUAGAUGACACCAGUAGGGCUAAAAACAUAAGAAGUUUUACACAACUUUGAAAUAUUGUUAUUCUGCUCGAAAAUAGUGAGAAUUUAUUUCUAAGUAUAAAUUCUAUUUUCUGGAAAUAAUAAUUCUACCGGUUUCUAUAAAAGAGAGAUUUACUUUCCUACUGAAAGUAACGUAAAUUUUUGGUUCUGUGUCUUAUUCGAAUUUGUUCGAGCCCAUAAUCGAAGAAGUUUGUGGUACGAGAACAACGGAGAAGGUCGUCCGGUUGAAAGCUGGGAACAAUAAGGAUCCGUUUAACUUAAAACAAUGACGCAAUUUUGAGAAAAGUUUAUUGCUAUAAAUAUCACAAACCUGCUUGAUUUUCAAAAUUUUAUUUUUCGCUGUGCAAGAAAAUCAUUUUCGAAUCAGAUUUUUUCUAACACCAACCACCAAACAUGCUACAGUAGAGUUGACCUUUCAACAAUAUAAUCCUUAUUUCAAAGAGGAUGUUUCUUUUAAUGCCCAAUACUUGAUCCAAUCAUAGGAUCCAAGCUAUGCAAUGUCAUAACCCUUACUGGUGAAACUAACGUCACAUAAGCAUCAUACAACCACUCACACAUGCAAUUCAGUACAAACCACAUUCAUAAUAAGCUACAUAAUCAUUUUUAGGAUCCACACAAGCUUACGGAAUCUCUUUUGUUUACCCGAGGGUGAAUUAGGACGAAAUUUUAAACUUUUCAAAAUUUCGGACCAACAUUGCAACUUCAUGGUUUCCACCUCACAACAUCGUGAACUCAGUAGGUCACGUCGUGACUUUGGGUAUAUUAACGUCACUCACUAUCGGCCUAUGUCGCGACAUUAGGGGUUUGUGGUCACGAUGUUGUCCCUACUUUUGGCAAAAUACACAUUUGGUACCUAUUCACUUGUUUCCAACAAAAGCAUAUGAUUACAUUCAUUCAUUUGCCAAUUCUACCUAUACCAAAUUAUGAUAAAACAUGCUAAAACAAGUUUAUAACAUUUGAAUUCAACCAUUAAAAAUAACAUUCAAUACAUGAUCAUUAUUUAGGUUCAAUCAAUCCAUUUGUUCACCUAAACAUAUAAACUAUGUCAUUCAAGUUCAUCACAUGCUUAGCUAUACAUUGUGGCACACUAAGAACCUAUAUAACCUUAGUAUGAACCAAAAAAAAGCAUACACCAACAAUGUUUCUAGCAUAACAUUUAAUUAUACCAAUUCCAAAAAUUUAUCAACUUAGUUACCCUAAUUGCCUCAAUUUGUAAUCUUUCAUAUACCAAAUCAUGCAAGGUUAUAUCAUCACUCAAACUACCAUGAAACAUGAUCAAUGCCAUACAUAUACCAAGUUAAAAGGAAAUCGUAUUACACAAGAUUAUCCAUACCACAAUUGCCAUAUAACCAACUAUCUAAAAAGACCAUUUGCACACUAAGGUGCCCCUAUAUACAUGCCAAAAAAUUUGGACACAAACAAACAUAAUUCUACCGUAUUUUGAUAGUGUGUACUUCACGCUAAUCUGGCUCGACAGGUUUCGCAAUGCCAUCUACAAUAAGGGAAACAACUAAAGUAAGCAUUAAGAAUGUUUAGUAAGUUCAAAUGAAAAUUCUAUGCUUACCUUGAUCACUUAUAAGUAUAACAACUACCAAUCACUUUGACAUACAAUUUAGCUAUCUUUGGCACAUGAUGUUUUAACUAGUCAUUUGCCAACAUAUUAACAUUCAAAUAGGUUAGACAUACUUGCACAUCAUGAGUAACAUCACUUAAUUCCAAAGUAAGUUCAUGUCACGUAACAAGUUAUAAACAUAUACCAAUUCAUAUUCAAUAUAUUUUCAAGAUUUUCCAUUUCAAUUACGAUAAAUAUUGUUCGAUGGAACUAUAAUAAAACGGACUCGAAUACACAGGUGGACUAUGUUGCUCACAUAUGUUGACAUUAUAUCAGGUUACCCGUCCAAGCUAAACCUAUGUUAAAUAUAACCCAAGAAUCUGCAACAAGGCUAGAUCUCAUUAAAUAACCCAAAAAUCUAUAACAAAUGCUAGAUCUCAUUAUAACCUGUAAAAUCUCUGAUCAAGCACGCAUAUAAACCCUAAUGCAUGCCAAUUGCAUCCUAAGAUUUUACUAAGUUUGCAUGGGCAUUGAUUACAUAUAUUUCAAUAUCAUACCUGUAAUCCAUCAUUUUCAUACAUUUUUACCCUAUAAUUAUUCACAUGUUCCAAUUCAAUCCUUUCUAACCAUAUGUGGCAAACUACUAGUAUUUCACUAUUAACUCAAACAUACAUAUACAUAUAUACAUUAAAUUAAAUGCAAGUAUAUAAAUCACACAAAAUGAAUUGGUAAGUUCCAAGUGAACUUACCUUGUUCAAAAUUUGAAAUAAGUGGAUACUUUAGGGACUAACCCGUAAUUUUAGUUUUUCCCUAUUAGCUCCACUUUGAUCCAAAUCUUGAUCUAUACAAUUAUUUUAUAUCAGCAACCAAUAACAAGCAUUUUGAUACUAUAACCUGAUAUGCAUGAUCUCAUAUAAUUUUAUUUUUUAUUCCCCUCCUAUUUUACAUUUUAAUCAAUUUAGUCCCUAAAAUUCAAUUUUAUAUAUUCUCAUCAGGGACCUUAUACUUUCUAUUUCUAACAUAAUUUCAUGACAUUUUUUACAUUUAUUCAAUUUGGUCACUAAUAUAAAAAGUUACUGAGUUGAUAUGUUAUAAUCAUAUUAUUUGCUACUGUAUUGAACCGUUAUAAGCAUAUUGAUUGUUACUAUAUUGUUUUGUUAAAAGCAUAAUUAAAUGUUAUUGUAUUGAUCUAUUUGAGCUUGUCAUAUUGCAUUGCAUGGGAUGAGACGAUGCGAACGAAGGAAGUUGAGCAGUUUAUCUGCACUGUUGAGUGGUUUAUCCACAUCGUUUGAGCAACUUUUAUCUACACUGUUUGAAUGGCUUAACCACACCAUAUUAGCAACUUCAAUAUGUAAACAUGUUGUGCAUCCACAAUCUUCUGACAGCUUAUCCACAAAAACUUUUUAACAAAAAAAAAAGAACCCGAUGGUUCAUCCACCUUUUUAUACUAGGGCAAUUUUCAAGAACCUUAUACUUGGAACGCAUGACGCGAACCCAUAAAGAAUUUGGCCUUACCACAAAAUUAUAACCAAGCUUCAUCAGAAAAACAUCAUUCUAACCUUUAAGAUCACAAAAAUCGAGACCACCUUUCUGAAUGGGUUCGCAACAAUCAGACCAUCGAGCAAGUGCAGGUUUUUUGUGUGAAUUCCGACUCUCCCAAACAAAACUCCUUGCCAAUUGUUCAAUCUCCAUGCAGAUUGUUAUUGGAAUAAGGGUGGUUUGCAUAAAAUAGUGGGGAAUCAGAAGUAAUACCAACUAUUAAGACAUUUCCGUACUCGUUCAAUAAUAAAUUGGAAAGUGCUGCAAGUAACUUUCCGGUGGAAUAGUGGCAUGCCAGGAUAAGUUCCCAAAUCAUCCCCUCCAUUAAGUUCAAGGCUAAUACAGGUCUGUUCAGCUAAAUAUGAGCACCCAUGUUUCUCGAGAAAUAAAUGUUUGUUUUCUGGGCAUCAACUUUGUGCCCAGAAAAACGUCCAAAGUUGUCCAGAAAAAUGUCCUCUUUAUUGAAAGUACAACAAGGCCUUCUUUUAUUUUAUAAUAUUAUGUAAUUAAUUUUUUUAAAAUAAAAAUAUAAAACAUAUAAAUAAUUCAAGUUUUCAACCAAAUAAAAAAAUUUAAAAAUUAAAAAUUAAAAAUAUUUUUUAAAAAUAAAAUUAUAAAAUAUAUAAGUGUAAAUUCUAAAAAAACAUAUAAUAUAUGAAAUUUAAAAAAAUUAUAAAUAUUUAAAUAAUAUUUAAAUUUAAAAAAAUUUAAAAACAUAUAUUUUAGAAAAUUUGCAAUAAUUCUUUUUUGCAAAACACCCCUCAAAUAUAUCAAAACUUCUAAAUUUCAAAAAAUAUAUAAAAAUUUCAGAAAAUGAACACUUAAAAUCAAAAAAAUAAAAUUUAUAGAAAUUGAAAUUUUGAAAAAGUUUAUCACAAAAAUUGAAAAAAAAAUUCCAAAAGAAAUAUAAAUUCUAGGAAAAUUAUAAUAAUUAAACAUUGAAAAAAAAUUCAAAAAUAUACAUUUUUAUAAAAAUUCUUACAAUAUUAAAAAAUAAACAAAUAUUUAUCAAAGAUCUAUCAAUAUCAAUUAAUAGUCAGUCGAUACCAAUCAACGGUUAAUUAAUGGUAGUCAACCUUGGCUAGCAAUCAUCAAUAGGGGUAGAGCUAAGGGCUGAUAGGAACCCCUUAAAAUAGAAAAAAAAAUCUCUUUUAGCCCUUUAUAAUUUAUAAAAUUUCAUAUUAAUAAUGAUAAAAUUACAUUUUGUCUCCCAAAAAUGAUAAAAAUUUGAUUUAAUCUUUUAAAAAAUAUAAUGAUACAGACUAUUAAAAUUGUGAAAUUACAUAUUUACUAUCGUAAAAAUAUACAACUUAAUUUCGUCUCCCAAAUUUUUUUUGGCUUUGCCCUUGAUCAUCAAAGUCGAUGGUAUAUUUUCUAAAAUAUCUAAGCUUUAAAAAAGAUUUUAUAUUAUACUAGAAAUCUUAUCACAUGCAUAUGCUUGUGAAAACUUAAAACACAAAUUCUUGUUUAAAAAUAACAUACAAUAAACAAUGACUGGUAUGGUUUGAAACUAAUUAUGCAACUAAUGUAGAUAAUAAAUGGUAUGCGUGUGAAAACGUAAAACACGAAUGUUUGUUUAAAAGUAACAUAUAAUAAGCAAUGUCCCGUAUGGUUUGAAACUAAUUAUGCAACUGGUGUAGAUAAUAAAUUGUAUAUAUUAAAAAUGUAAAAAAAAAAUAUGUUAAAAGGAAGUUUUGGUUGAGUGGUAAAUUUAAGGAAUUAGUAAUUCAAUUGGUACGGGUUCAAAUUUCACUAUAUGUAUCUUUUAAUUUAUUUUUGUUAAAAUAAAAAUAUUAAAAUACCCUCAAAUAAUAUAAAUUUUUUAAUUACAAAAAGAUAUUUAUGUAAUUUUUUGAUCGAAUUGGUGACAUGAGAGGGUGAUACCAACACAAUAAAAAACUUAAUAAAUUACAUACAUAUAUUUUAAUUGUUAGAAUUUAUAUAUUAACUUCAAUAAAUAUGAACACCCCAUAUUGCAUUCUAAAGAAUUGGAAUAUUAUGUGGCACCACAUGUUAAUUGAUUUUUUAAUGUUGUUAAAAAAAUAAAUAAAAAAUCAAUCAAUAUUCUACUGUAUGAUAGCUUAGUGGGAAAAAGGAAAGAAAAGAGAAAGGUAAGUCGUUACAAUUUACAACUCAUCGGGAUUGCGGUGCACGUGCACAUAAUCAGUUAAUUAUGACGUUGACACGCCACACGAGUGGAAGUGGGUAGUAUUUAUUUUUGAGACGUUUCGGGUCCCAAUAUCCACGUCAUCACCACUCACAAAGGAUAAAUUAAGGGUCUUCAUCUCAUCCCCAUUUUUAAAUGAUGGAUGGGGAAUAUGCCAAAAAUGUUAGCAAGAAGAAGUGAGAAUCAUAAAAGACAAUGUUCUAAUUAAUUAAUUAAACCAAUAUUGGGAUUUAUUAUUAUUAUUAUCUUUUCUAUAUUUUACUUUGAAAAAUAAAAAAAAUUAAUCCAAUAAAUGAAAUCGAGAUGUAAGAGUGGCAUACAAGUAUUAAACAACACCAAACACAAGUAACCAACAUACCCAAACCCCACAAAUCUUCCCCAAAUUCCUACUAAGAAAAGGAGGCCAUUCUCCAAACAGGAUAUUGAAGCAAAUUGUUAAGUUGUCGAGAUCAUAAAGAAAAUUCUAUUCAAAAACAAACUUAUAGAUAACAAUGAGAUGAAUCCAUAAAAACAGAUGAUAAUUCUACCUUUUCAACCAAAAUAAAUAAAUAAAACAAAGAUGAACUUAAAAUUAAAACUAAAUUUAAAGAAAAUUAAUUUUAAAACUUAGUAGAAAAACAAAACAAUAAUUAAAAAGUUAAAAGGACAAAAUCAAUAAGACAAAACUCUAGUCAAAUAUAAAUUCUUCAUUUAAUUCAACAGUUUAAUAAACUAGUUAUUGUUGUCGACGUCAUCCCCAGCAACCAAUCUCUCUUUACCGUUUCGAUAACUAAGGAGCAACCCGUUUGAAAUUAUUUCUCUUACCAAUAAAUAAUCUAUAAUUUUGCGCCUAGGGUUUAGCUUACCGAUAGCAUUAAGAUCAAGAGAUACCUCGUUCUCACCAAAAACACACUACGGGAUUCAUUAAAGUUAGGUCACAUGUCCACACAACAUAUAAUGCAUAUCUUUGUCAUACUCACCUAUGUAAAUAGUUACAGAUUUAAUAAUUCUAAAUUACAAGGUAAAUAUUCUAAAUAAUUGAAUACAACAUGAAUGUUCAACAAACCUUAAUAUUUGUAAUUAAACCAAAAGACAUGUAGAUACUAAAGAACAAAGAAAAAAUUAUGAAUAAUUAGCUCUUACAAAGUAUUGAAAUCAAACUUUGAAAUUCUUUUGACUAGGAAAGAGGGUUUAGUAAUUCAUAAAAUAAGAAAAACGCAAAAAUAAUAAGUUUGCAAUAAGCUAAAAGUUCAAUGCAAUCAAAAGUUGUCUAACGCUCUUAAAAACUUCCUAUUUAUAAAGUUUAUUUAACCAAAUUAGGGCUACAAUACUUGCUUAAAUUUCAAUAUUGAAAGAGACAAAAAUAACUUUGAGUCUCAAGUUAAAACGAUGGAGAAAUCCCAUGUCAUGUAAGCUUGGUGUCGCAGCUCAACAAUAGAGCCUAUGAGCUCACAGGGGUUCCGCAUUGGGGCAUGGAGUAGGGAGCUGCGGCGCACGGGUGGUUAGGGUUGGGGUGAUAGUCUGAGCUAGAUUAUGCACUCUACACCAGAGUGCGAUAUUUUAGGCUGCAGCUCACUCGUCCUCCAUCGGGCAUCAUUGGAAUAGUCUGAUUUUUCUCUUAAUAAUUCUCAAUAUUGCAUUCCAAGCUCAUAUGCACCUAAUUGAAGUCACAAAAACACUAAAAGAAUUAAUUACAAUUAACUAAUAUAAAAUCAAAUAAAAAUAGAGAAAAAUGCUAAUGUAUAUUAAACUUAUACUAAAUAAGCAAAUAAUGUUAAAACAUGGUAUUUGCUUGAAGAUCAGUAAAAGUAAAAUGAUAAGAGCCUAAAAUACAUAAAUUACGAUCACUAAUCACAAGUUUUUGAAGUGGCUAUUUAUCUGCCAAUAGAAAUGGCUAUUACGAUCAUCAUUAGAACAAAUAACUUACUUGCCAUAUUUGAAGUUGGCAAGUUUUGAAACAAAAUCUAUGGGCUAUGAUUGUUGUUGAUAUUAUAGAAGCAUUCAAGCCUAUCAAUAAUGAUCAAUCCACUUGGAGAACACAUAUUAAAAUUGGAUCAAAUCGGAUCAUACAUAUAAAAUCCCUUAGAUUAGGGAUGUUGGAUGAGGACAAACUUGGAAUACUUAUCUCCAAUAGUCCAACGUACUUUGGUAUUUAUUAUUAUAUUGUAUUAAUGCUAUUUAAGUUGCUUAGAAGAAUAGAUUAGAUUGUAAUUGAUCUCUUAAUAUGUUAGCAAGUCUCAAACUUCUUAUCCCAUGUUUUGGUUGUAGUUUAUGUAGUGCCAUCUGAAAUGCUUACUUCAAUUAUCACUUUCAUUCAACACUUUGUUUUCUAAGCAAUUGUUGGCUGUCCAUUUCAAUUAUUGGUAUUAGAGCUUCCCAUUUAAAGUAGCUAGUGGUGUAUCCUAAUGUUUUGUAAUUGCUAGAUAUGAGUAGCUUGUGUAUGUAAUUGUUGUUUUCUUAUCCCAUGUUUGCUUAUGUAUGUAUUAUUAUUUGUUUAUAACUGAUUAUGAGUAGCUAAAUCUUUGGUGGUUAGUUGUUGGAAGUGUUUUUCAGUUAGUUUUUGGUAUUGGGACUAAAUCAUAAGAAUUGGACUAAAUUGAAUAGACUUUAAAACUUAAGAUUGAUGCCCUUAAGGGAAAAUUGAGAUAAGUGAGACGAAAGGAGAUCUUAUCGGGCACCAAUUCGAUUGUCCCAGGUUAGUUUGGUGAGGUCGAGAUAUAAACUGGACUAAUUUGUCUAAUUUGGUAAAAUUGAGCCGAAAAAGUAAACUUAAACCAAUUUAGGUGUAUUAGCGAUUUAUAUCCCUAAUUCAAAGGUUAACCAACAACAUGGAAAUCAAACAACCGUUGUUUGUUUUCGUAUUUAUUAGUUUCCUAGUUUGCAUAUUUUACAAUUUAGUCCUUUUUUAUUUUUAGAUAAUUAUUUAGUUUAAUUCACUUCUAAAUUAUGCACUGCCGUAAUAUAGAAACUUGCAAUAAAUUUGGUUCACUAGAAUUGAAUAGAGUUGUAAUGGAAUAGAGUUGUAAUUAGUAAAUCAAUUGUUUGGUUGAAUAGAAUGAAAUAAAAUUGUAAUAGUAUUCUUGUGUUUGGUUGAAUGAAAUAGAUGUUGUAAUAGCAUAUGGACAAAAAUUAAACUGACUAGAAUACUCUUAGUAGAUUUUUAUUGGGUAGAUGAUUAUUGUUAUUGUUAUUAAAUUUUAAUAAUAUUAUUAUUAAAUAUAAUUUAAUAAUAAAAAUAAAUAAUUUAAUCAUAUUUUAAUAUAAUUAUUACUAAAUAUAAUUUAAUAAAAAUAAUAAUAUAUAAUUUAAUAGCAUUCUUUAUAUAUUUUAAUAUAAUUUAAAAUAAAAUAUUAAUAUAUAUUAAUAUUUUAUAUUAAAUUAAUAUUUUAUCUUAAAUUAUUUAAAAUAUAUUAUUUUUAUAUUUUCUAAGUCCAAGUUUUAAAGGACUAAUCUGAAAAUUAAUGGUGUUAAUGGUGUUGGUUGAUUUAAGUGAUGAGCAAAAUGAAGAUGUCGAGCUACCAUGACCUUCUAGGGUCAGAAAGAAUCAUCCAACUAAUGGUAUCAUUGGGGACAUCAAUGAUGGGAUUCAAAGUAGAGGAAGGUCAAGGCAAAACUAUUGAGAUAUGGUGACUUAUCUACUAUACUUUUUAGAUUGAGCCUAUACAUGUUGAAGAUGCCUUGAAUGAUGUAAAAUGGAUUCAAUGUAUGCAAAAGGAGCUUUAACAAUUUGAGAAUAAUGAAGUUUGACAACUUGUGCCUAGACCUUAUGAUUGCAACAAUAUUGGCAUAAAGUGGAUCUUCAAAAACAAAAUUGAAGAACAUGGGCACAUCAUAGAAAACAAAGUAAGACAUGUGGCCAACGGUUAUAUACAGGUUGAAAGGAUAGAUUUUGACGAGACCUUUACUCUUGUAGCAAGACUUGAAGCAAUCAGGAUACUACUUUCUAUAACUACUUAUCUUAACAUCAAACUGUAUUAGAUGGAUGUUAAAAGUGCCUUUCUAAAUGGGUAUAGAAGUUAAGCAAGUUGUUGUAUGUCUUAAACAAGCUCCUCGAGCUUGGUAUGGGAGGAUAUCUUAGUUCUUAACUAGUCAAGGCUUUUAAAAAUGGUCUAUUGACAAGACAUUGUUCAUUAGAAGACACAGAGGAACUAUCAUUCUUUCUCAAAUUUAUGUGUAUAGCAUAAUAUUUGGAGCAAUUUUAGUCAGUGCAAAAGACAUUUUUGUAAAUAUGAUGCAGAGUGAAUUUAAGAUAAGUAUGAUGGGUGAAUUGUCAUACUUUCUUGGGUUUUAGAUUAAGGAGAUCGGAUAUGGUACUUUUCUCUUGUAGAAGUAUGUGAAUAACUUAAUAAAGAAGUUUGGUACGGAGAGUUGUAAGCCUACCAGGACUCCUUUGUUUAUAAAUGAAAAAAUAAGUGCAGAUGCAACGAAAGCCCCACUUUUGAUACCACUUAUAGAAGCAUACUUGAAAGUCUGUUAUAUCUCGUUACAAGCCUGUUGGGAUCUAGUGCCCUUAGUAUAGUUUUCCUUCAUAUGUAUUUGUAAUUUUUCUGCGAAAGACAUUUUUGUAAAUAUGAUGCAGAGCGAAUUCAAGAUAAAUAUGAUGGGUGAAUUGUCAUACUUUCUUGGGUUUUAGAUUAAGGAGAUGGGAUAUGGUACUUUUCUCUUGCAGAAGAAGUAUGUGAGGAACUUAAUAAAGAAGUUUAGUAUGGAGAAUUGUAAGUUUACUAGGACUCUCUUAUCUAUAAGUGAGAAAAUAAGCGUAGAUGCAACGAGAGCCCCACUUUCGAUAUCACUUAUAGAAGUAUACUUGGAAGUUUGUUAUAUCUCGUUACAAGCCUGUUGGGAUCUAGUGCCCUUAGUAUAGUUUUCCUUCAUAUGUACUUGUAAGUUUUUUGAAAAGAUUGGUUUAAUAAAAUUCUAUCAUUUACAUUAAUAUUGUUUGUAUUUGUCCUCAAUGAUUUUUGCAAAGCAAAAUGAACAAUCAAAUAUUUGCUCAUUGAUUACCUAACAUUUAACUAAUAUUAAGUUAUAUUACGUGGUCGGAUCAUAAUGCGAGAAGACAACUUGUAUUGAUAGGUAAUAUAAAUGGUCCAUAGUUUGAUCAACUGGAAUUGAAUAAAUCGGUUCAAGGUAUAUUAUGUCGUCUACCAAGUCCAAUUGGCAGAUACAUUGUCUUGGGUAUCAGAUUGGAUGACUCCUAGAAGAUAGAGGCAUAUUUGAUUAUUUGGAUUGACGAAACAUUGGAAGGAGCCAAGUCGAAUAAACCUUAGAUCUAUUUAUGAACUUAUUCACUUGUGACAUUCACAAUGUGGCUUACCUUAAUCCUAAGUAAGUGACGGAUUGUAACAACCCGAUUUUGCACCAGUGUCGAAAAAUUUGAUUUUAGAGCUAGAUUUCUUAAAUUGAGUCAUCCUGAAAAAUUAAACCAAAAGGUUUCCGGGAUGAGAAUGAGAAUUAGGAGGAGAAUUAUUAAGUGAGUUAUUAAAAAAGCUAUUAAAAAUAGUGUAAGGAAUAAAUUGUGAGAAUUGGAAAAGUCACAUAUCAAUUGAGUAGAGAAAAUAAAUAAUGAAAUUAAUGAAAAAGGACUAGAUGAGAAAUUAAGCUAAACCCUUAAAAGCAAUUAAACCAUAAUUAAGUGGAGCUAGUAGAUAACUGUCAUCUCAUCCAUUAAUUAUCACUAACCAUUAUCAUGUUAAUUCUUAACCAUUAGAUAUAAGUUUAUUUAAUAAUAAUGAUAAUAUGAAAAUAGAUAAAAGAUGAAACAUGUUAGUGUAUUUUCAUCUUCUUCUCCAACGGCACCAAACAAAAGAAAGAAAAGAAAUUGCAUGGGUUCCAUUCUCUAUAGACAUGAGGAUCAACCACGGCGGAGCCAUGCGCUGGUAGGUUACGGCUACCUUAAAAUGGAAAAUUUUUUAUUUAGUUCUUUUACAAUUUAUAAAAUUUUAGAUUAGUUAACUUUUUUAAAAAUAAUAAAAAUUUAAUUUAAUAUUUUAAAAAUUAUAAAAAUAUAGAAUAUUAAAAUAAUAAAAUUAUAUUUUUAUUAUCUUAAAAAUAUAUAAUUUAAUUUUCACAUUAAAAAAAAUUUGUGACUCCUCGCCUGUCAUCAACCAAGGUUAAGAGGAUACGUGAAGUUUAAAAAGAUAUAAUGAAUAUAUACAUAUAGGUAGCAGGCAGGUUUUAUCAUGUUUUAGAAGCAAUCACUAGGGAAUAGGGAUUCGGCUACUAUUUUAGCAUCCACAGCUUUUUAAGCUUGAAUGGAAACAAAUUAAAAACGUCCAUGUCAUCUUACUAGUUAAAGGAUUUAUCUGGUCUACGUUUCUAAACUAAAAUUAUUAUUGCAUCAUCAAACAUGUAUUUUACUUAAUUCACAAUUUAGCUCUUUCAAGUGUCCUCCUUUUCUUUAUAUUGGUAUUUAAAUUUUUUACCUUAAAAUUUUAGAAAAAUAAGAAUAUAUAUGAAAUAAUUAAAUUUUUAAGAAUUUUUUUUUUAAAAAAAUGGGGGUAAUCCUUGGGUUACUCUUCUUCAAAUCUCUUUGAUGAGAUUUAGCAAUGCCCAAUAUUAUCAACUUUUAACAUUAAUCAAAACUGAAAUUAGAAAAAAAUAGUAAAUUAAGAAACUCGUACUAUGCAAAACCUCACUUACGAUUAAAAGAAAUACUAUAAUGAAAGUUUUUGAACCCAAGAAAAAGAAAUUUCACUGGUUCUUCAAAUUCUUCCAUUUUCCAAAUCUUUACGGCUAGAAAAACAAAAACCCAGAAAAACCCUGGAUUGAGUAUCAUGAGAAGCUGCAAAUUAGUACAAUGAGAAAGAAUAUAGCCAAUGUCAUCCGUCGUUCAUCUUUCUCAUCUUUCUAACGCAAAGCCCUGCAAAUCCAAAUCAAAGAAUUCACAAUUUAAGGUACUACAGUAUUAUCCAAAUAAGAAAACAUAUUUCCAUUCCUUCUUUUCUCUGUUUCUCAUUUUUUUCAACCCUCUAAACUCUAUAGAUCUGAGUUAAACUUUUAACGCUAAAAACCCAUUAAUUCCAUGAAAUAAUUUUUAUUUUCACGAUUGGAAAACAAUUGAUACUUUAGUUCAUAUGCAUAGAUUUGAGGAACACGAAAGAGAAGAAACCCAUAAUUUUUCUAAUUUUUAGGUUAAAAAAGUUGAAGUGUUUCAUAUGUAGUUUAUAAUUUUAGAUUUAUAUAUAUUUGUUUUUAUAAAAUAAAAUUUUAUAUAUUUUUUAUUAAAAUACCACGCGACAUUAUUUGAUUGAGCGAACAGUUUUUUUAACGUCUGUUAAUCAUUUGGACCAAAAAUCAUAAUAAAAUGAUACUUUUAAGUAUCGAUUUGGAUAAAAUAUUUUAAAUAACAAUGUGAAACAAUAAAUAUAUUUUAGAGAUUAAAUGGAGAAUGAAGCCUUACCCAACUCAAACUCAUAUUAAACAAAUAAUAUUAUUAACUUGCUUCGAAUUUUGGUUGGAAUUACCAACAUCCAUGCAUGCAUUAUUAUUAUUAUGUUUUAAAAGAAUUUUUUUCCCCACGAUUUUAGAGCGGCGCUUUGCUCCUUCAAUGUUCUGUCUCAACUUUUACAUCGAAAUUGAAUAAUCCAUCUUUUCUUUGUCUUCCCCGAAUGACAAGUGGUGCAAAUGCCAAUUUUUAUUUUUUGUUUUUUCAAGAUGAAAAUUACACUUAAUUUGUAGUGUAGGGAUUGAGGAUGGGCAAUGUUUGGUUGAUGGACAAAGACCGUGUUGGAGGAUGAUGCUAAAGUUUGUAUCCUUUCAAAGACCAGUCAAGCCGACACCCAUAUUACAUAUGGGGGCCAUUUUUACGUGUAUAUCAAUAUAUAUCAUAUUGCAGGGUUUCUUAAUUCUAAUUAUUUUGGUUUUUAUAUACUUCUCCCAAAGUUUAAAACUAACCCAAAUCUUCCAUACCCUACAGUAUCUAACAUUGUUGGUGUCCAGACAAAAAACCGUGCAUAUAUAUAAUUUGAUAAAAUUAAUUUCUUACCCCAUGGAUUAAGUCCCCAUCCAAGCUCCUUCUACGUAUAUAUAUAUUAUAUACAAUUCCAUGUGAGCUAUGUAUAACUUAUUCUAGACGUUCAAACGUCCAUUUCAAUAUCAACGAAAAUGUCGUUGCAUAUGAUGUGAUGAUUACCAAACGCAGGCAGAAAGCUUUAUUCUUCACAAGUAACUGUUUGUACACAAGUUUUAUUUUUUAUUUUUAAAGAAAAGGGUGUAAUGAAGAUGGUUCAAGUCAUUUUCGUUUUAUAAAAGUGUACUUUGAAUAGGGAGCAAGAUUUCAAAGUCCAAACCAUAAAAUAUGGGGGCCAAUUAUCUCCAGCUUAGCUUAACAGUUAGGGCAAUGAAUAUGAUUAAUCUUCAUUUUAAGAAGGUUAUAUAGCCAUUGAAAAUAAAAAUAAUAAUAAAGGUGAAAGAGAUGGUUUUGUUAUUGUAUAUAGAAGGAAAGCUUAUGGAAAGGCUUUUAUUCUUCCUUGAGUAUGGAAUGAUUGAAAUUUUUGUAGAUAUUAAAAGAAGUUAAUCAUAGGUGGAGACAACCUGGAGAAGCUAAUUAGAUUUAGUCUAAGACACAAGUUAAUUACUUAUUUGACUAGAAAAAAAAAAGGGACUCUCAUAAUGGGAAAAUCCGGUCCUACUCCUUUGCCUGAAUGUACAUGUGUGUAUAAUAGUAGUAAAGUUGUCUUUUGAAAUAAUAUUAACAAAUUAAAAAUUACGUUUAAAUGCAAAAUAGAGAUAUAUAUUUGAUAUUUUAGAUCUCCUUAAUACUUUCUUUUCCAGUAAGACUAAACAUGCAUGCCCCACUGACCCAUCAUACUAUCUUCAUUGUUUUCAUUGUAAAAAGUAGUUUUUUUUUUUUAAAUGAAAAUUUUCUGUAUUUCUUUCUUUUUAUGGAUGUUCGAGUUGGUGAAGUACAAAGAACUUUCUUCCGACCAGAAGAAAUUUAUGUUUUUCCGAUUGCUUUAUACAUAGUUUGCGGAUGAUUGUGAAUUGGGUUGGCAAAGUGUCCAAAAGUGUAGCCCUUUGACUAACAAGUGUAUAAUGAUUUAUAUAAAAUAUCCAUCUUACACCAUGUUUCAUUCCCUAACACUUCAUUGCUCUUUGUCCCGCUUUUCAUGUUAUAACAGAGAGAAAGGCAUUUCCAACCAAACAAUUCUUUCAAAUGAUAAUAAUUGAAGACUAGUCACAGAUCCCGAGUUGAAAUGAAGUAAGUGAAUUGGCGGAGGAUAAAGACAAACUACAACGCGGAAGUGACAGUAGAGAGUUUCAACCUUUCUUUUCUCGCAAUAUUAUGAACAACUAGACAGCUCCAAAAGUGUAGUCAAUUCAUCUUACUUUAUUUUUCUUUUUAAUUAUUUGUUGCUACAAAGUUUAUGCCAAUGUAGAUCCAGGAAAAUGUGUUCAUUAGUAAAAUCUUGAAUUUACUACUCAACUAAACCUUCAUUUUUAUUAUGUUUUAUACAUUUCUUUUAAUAUACACAAUUUAUUAUCUCAUCAAUUGUAUCUAUACUAUUAAUAAAAUCUCGGACUAAGUUGGAGUCACAAUUCAAUUGAAUACUAACUCACAAUUGAAAACAACACCAUGAUAAACAACUAUAGUGCAUUUACUAUUGUUAAUUUAAUGUAUUUAUGUGUUUAAAUUUCGUUUUACUCGCAAUUUAAUCUCAUUUUUUAUUUUAAUAUCGUACAUAUUUCAUGUGUUACUAUAAUUAAUUAGUUUCAAACCAUAUGUUUCAUUAUUUGUAUUUUAUUUUUAAACAUAUAUUUGUGUUCUAUAUUUGUGGUUUCUACACGUAUACACGUGUGAUAGGAUUUUUAUUUUUAUAUAGACAUUUAUAAAUUUUCAUAAUUUUAGAUGAUUUUCUAUUUUUUUUUUAAUUUUAUAAGUUUUUGUUUCCAUAUAAUAAUUUCUAUUUUUUAAUUUUUAAAAUUUUUUAAUAUUUGUUUACAUGCUACAUCAACAUAAGUUACACAUGACCAGCCAUGUGUCAUUGUCUUGUGCUCCCAUUUAAAAUGCCUAUAAUUACCUAUAACCCCUCCUCAACUCUUAAAUAAGAGGAUAAACAACUUUCAACACACUCGAGUCCAUAUCCUUUUGCAUUGACAACAAUGCCAAUGCCAACUAAGUUAAGACUCAAUCGACAAACUUAAUUGUUUUUUUUUCAAUAAGGUUUCAACAUGUGGAAAAUUUUCAGGGAGGACUUAAUUGAUUUUUUGAAGAACUAGAGCUGGACUUCUUCCCUCGUAUUUGGACCAAGUUCAAAUCCUAGAGUCAACAUUGUUGAGAGAGCUUUAUUUGAAUACCAUCUCCGGCCCGAACAAGACUAGACCCAGACCACAAAAUGGAUGAAGACACCUGUGGCUAUACAAAGAGAAGAAGAAGAUAAUUUAAAUAAUAUUCAAAUAGGUUAAUAUUAUAAUAUAUGAAAUAUCAAUUACUUUACAACAUCAUGCUUAAAAUGAACAUUUUUAAUUUUUUAAAAUACUUUUUAAUAGCAAUGCUACACAUUUUAAAAUUACUCUUUUGCUACAUUUUUUAAAAAGCAUUUUCCAGAAAAAUCUAAACUAGAUCAGUGAGGGCUGGAAGGGAAAUCGGAAAGAAGCUCAAGAAAAGGAAAGGCCAGCUUAGCUUGGAACCCAAAAAUGUUUGAGAAUUAGCUCAGUCUCGUUGUCUUUAGCUGCUAAUCCUAACAAGGGCAAUGAUGUGAACCCCGUUAUUGGCCCAUUGGUUCAGAUGUUCACCUUAAAACUCAGGUUUGGUGAGUUAUACAAUGAUGUAGAAACUCGAGUUAGUUUGAUUUUGAUCUGAUCGGACAUGGUGAAAGUUAUAGACUCCAAAAAUAUUUUAUAUCAUAUUUAAAUUAUAUCGUGUUCAAUAUUGAAUAAACGUUAGGAGUAUCAAUGGGUGGUGGUUUUACUUUACCUUGGAUGCUAGAAGCCACCCUAGGGUUAGCCCAAGGGGUAAAUAAUACCGCCAGUUCUUGCUCAGCCAUACCUUUUUUAGAGGUAGGUAAUGGUGGGGAAGCCUGUGAUCAUUAUUAUUAAGGGGAAUUUUUAUUCUUUAGGUUAAGAAAUUCCCAUGCUAAUCUUGAAUUCUUGCUUUAGCUAAAAGCAACAACAGUAGUAUAAUAGGAUGGAUAUCUCUCAACUUCACUUCAAGCAGAAAAGGGGCAAGGCUUUUUGCUUAAUACUAUAAUAUGAACUCCUCUGGAUCCCAACAUACAUACUAUUUGACAAUUUACAGAACAUAAAAGACGUUCAAACUUUUGAGUAUGGUUCUAUCUGAAAAUACGUUCAUCAUGAGAGAUAAGAAAACCUUUACUCUGGUCUGAUUUUAAGCUUGCUUGAGAGCACUAUCCCCAGGAAAUGUACACCUGGAUGUCUCUUCCAACUACUGAAAUAUUCCUGACCAUUGUUAUUGCUGCUUUCAGCAUGAUUCUCUACAUUCCUCUUCAAAUAGUACAGUCCCGAGGACGCAUAUACCCUCCAGCACUGUAUCAGUGCCUUCCACUGUUCAAAGAACUGCAACGUACUUUGUUUACAACUUAGAGGCUGCAGGGGGCCAAAGUUGAUUCCUUCUUUAUGGGCACAAUCUGUUCAUAUAGAUAAAAAUAUCACUAAUAAGUAAGCAAAGGCAGUUGUAACUGUAUAAUAAAUGUAAAUUGUGCAAGUUCAGACCAAACACUCUUUUGGCCUAAAUUUAUUACACAGCAUGCCAUAAGAUGCCGUUUAAUGCAUACUUACAAAGCAGUAGUUUAGCUUCAAUCAUGUCCAUGAGCCAAUACUAAAAUUUGUUCUUAAAAUACAUUAGAACUUAGCAUUGUACAGAAGAGCCAACAAGUUUUGCAUUAGUGAUCAAAUCAACUACAGUUUUCUAGACUGCCUUCUCCACGAUACUCGAACUGUCGAGACAGAGGAAUGCAAUUAAAUCCCUGAUGAUACUAAAUUUCGGUGCAUGUAUAGAUCCCGGCUUGAGAAACCAGAACAACUUUAUGUGACAAAAACAGACACCUCUAUACAAUAUAUCUAACAAUAUAUAUAUAUAAGAUCAGUAGCUUGAUUCAGGUUAUUUAUCCAUCUCCUUGAGCUACAGUGUUACAUUCAUGCACACAGAAUAAACAAUUUCUUGAAGAACAGAAAAAUUUCUAGGAACAAACGGGAUAAGUUUGCCCCAUAACUUAUUCCAACAUAACGAGUAUAACAGCUUUGAGAACAUGAAAGUGCCCAACCUUACCGACAUCAGAAACUUUUCACUACAAACACAUGUUAACAGCAUUUUUGGUUAAGAAUACUGAAAUGGAUAAAUCCAUAUAUUCCCUUGCUUAGAAAUCAUAGUUCUCCAAAAUUGGAAAUAAAAGAAAUGAAAAUAUCAUUUUAAUUUUUGAGGCUCUCCAAGUAUAUGCAUCAAGUCAUGAACAUAAAGAAGACAAUGAAUUACCUCAUUGCUCUCCAUGAACAUAAAGAACAUAGUCCCACUAAUCCCUCAGCUGGCUCAGCCAGCUUCCAAGAGAACUUCAAAUUGCAAAGAACCAAAUCCCUUUCUUCUCAUGUAAAAGUUUUAUACCCCUCGCUUGAUGCAGGAGCCUUUCUUUGCUUUUCCAGUUCUCUCUGUGGGUUUCUUCCCCCUUUUUUUUUUUCUUUUUUAUUUCCCUGAUAAGGGAUCACCGUUCACACUACUGAAAAGUAUUGUACGGCAACGCUGUUCACAAAUAUUGCAGCAAAUUUUACUUGUAAGAGUUCUUUUAUGUCUUUAACAUAUUUUAAACAAAUGACAUUAUUGCAUCUUUUUUUUAUAUUUUAACCUUUUAAGGGAGAGAUUUGAUUCUUAUUAGUAAGUAAUAUUUACUUGAGCAGGAAAAUUUAUAAGUUAAUUAGAUAAUAUUUACUUGCUUACUAAUCUUUUAGAAGAAUUUCAUUCCUCGACCUUGCAAGAGAUGCUGCACUUAGACUAGGUACAACGUGAUAUUGUAUGAAAGAAAAAAACAUAAAGCAUAAAACCAAGCAAAAGAUAAAAAGAUAAACAGGGAAACAGGGAAACCCCAAGUUAAUAGAAGGAAAUAUUCCAAAUAAAUAAGCUUGUUCACUGUUCAAGUAGAUGAAUCAGGCUUACUUGCAUUACGAUUGUCGUAACAAAACCAGAACACCUUUCAGCAAGUUAUUUGGAAACGCAAGUUGGAGUAGACUGUGAAAUUACAGUAGAGACAAUGUUGAGGCUAAACCCUCGCUCCAUUUUUUACUUCUCAUGAGGAAUUAUCAAGAAGCUAAUGCAGCUCGAAGAGAAUGCUCCGCCAACCUUAACCUAAAUCCCAGUAAAUGAGUGAGGCUCGCAACAAACACAAAAAAAAAACUCAGCGUUUAUAAUUAGUAAGCAUACAAGAAAGUGAAUAGAAGCAAUGCACAUCUACGGGGCAUUGGGGAUCCGGAGAAGCCUAAAACAGAACUGUGAAAUAUUGCAAAACAGAGAGAAUAAAGUAAUAAUCACCUCAUAUUCCUUCAAGCACUUUCAUAUCUUCCUAUUUCAUGGUUAAGAAACCAACCAGCAGCUUCAGCCAUGCCAAAGUGACCUCUCCUUCACUUGAUGAAGCAGUAUCAGUAAUGAAGUCGUAUGAGUUCCACGGAAUCCAACUAUUACAUUCGAGGAUCAUUUUCUAUUAUAAUAUACAGGUCUUAUCACAGUAUAGUUCUUCACAAAAUUCAAAAUCUUGCUUUCUUUAAGCAUGCUGGUACUAGUAAAGAUGGCAGCAUUAUUCUUACAACACGCUUUCGGUAAUUCAAAAUGGUAUAUUAGAUCUUGAACCUACCGCCCACCCCCCAAAAAAAAAAAGUCUUUGUGGAGGCAUUUAAUACAAGGUUCAGCAAUAAAGAAUGAAUUUUUACUCUGUUGCCACCAAAACUGAACAAAAAGUUUAGAUUUUUACCAACAGUUUCGGUUUUAAAUAAAAACCCAGACAGAAAUUGCAUUAAAAAUAGGCAAAGGGUUAAAAUUCUAAGUUGAUAGUUAUUGAUGGAGAAGGAUUAAAAUAAGAGCUGAUGUAAAAUACUUACAUAGAUAGCGCAAGAAGUUUCAGGCGAAUUGUUUAGUCAUCGCAGAGAGAGCCAAAUAGACUCGGAAGUAAUAAGAUAUAAACGGUGGUUGUCAUUUCUCAAGGAGCUUGACAGGUGGCGCUUGGUCAUGCUCCAUGACGGCAAACACUGUAGCAGGGCUGUAGAGGUGAGGGUUAUGCAGGUAUGUGGGCUUGGGCCGUAUAUCGAAGGCUGAAAGAAAGCUUCUAGGCCUGGAACUAAGUCAACAGACUCAUAUAUUAGGGUUUCAAGUUUUAGCUCACUACCUAUAAAUUCUUCUUUGUUGCUCACUACUCUUUCGAGCUCAAAUUACU